This 58533-nucleotide long non-coding RNA is filed under the name Gossypium barbadense (sea-island cotton). RNAcentral describes it as "long non-coding RNA (GBAR_LNC005158)". Lineage: Eukaryota; Viridiplantae; Streptophyta; Magnoliopsida; Malvales; Malvaceae. The record is from RNAcentral.
CCUUCAAAUGUGAUUUCACCGACAAAAGUGGAGAUUCAGCCGGAUAUGAUUUAUGGUGAGGAACUGUUUAAGAUUUUGGCACGAGAAGUUAAACAAUUGAUAAACAAAAGCAUUGCCUUGGUGAAAGUGUUAUGGCAAAGACAUAGGGUUGAAGAGGAUACAUGUGAGCCCGAGGAAGCCAUGAGGAAACAAUACCAAAACCUUUUUACUGGUAAGAUUUUUAGGGACAAAAAAUCCCUAAACGGGAAGAGUUGUAACAUCCCGAAUUAGGGUCUAGUCAGAAUAGUGGUUUUGAGACCACAAAUCUGAAAUAGAAAUAAUUAUUUUAUGAUAAUUUGAUGAUCCAUGAUAUGAUUGCAUGCUUGUGUGAAAUUUUCAUAAAGAAAUUUUAUGCCUAAGAUGUCCAAAUUGACUUUAGGGACUAAAUUGAAUAAGUUGUAAAACUUGUAUUUUAGAAGCUCCAAGCAUGAAAUUACAUUAGAUUAUUAAUUAGAGGUCCUUAAAUAGCAAUUUUACCAAGUUCUAAAAUUUUGGACAAAAAUGGACAAUAGGAAAAAAUUUGAAAAAAAGACCUUAAGGGCUUUUUGGUCAUUUGGUUAAUAAAAGAAUAAAAAGGGAAAAUAAGUAAAAAAUUUUCUCAUAUUCUCCAAUUGCUAGCUGAAAUUUCCAAGAGCCAUAGCUAGGCUUUUGUUCACCUGUUCAAGCUUGAUUGUAAGUACUCCUAAUCCCCAUUUUUAAUGUUCUUUACAUUUUUGAGAUCCUUGAAGCAUGAUUUAUCCAUUUCUAGCCAUAUUUUGAAGUAGGGUUCAUGUAUGAAACUUGACCCAUGUGUGACAUGGUUGUAUUUUGAUGUUUAAUAGAGGAAUAUGAAAGUUUGAUGUAUGAUAAACAUCUUUUAGUAAGUUAAUUUUAGUGAAAACACCUAAAAAGGACUUAUUUGCAAAAGAUGAAAAAAUGGGUAGUAGAAAUGUGGUUUAAUGUGAAAUAUGGGCUGGUACGAGUUAGAAUAUGAAUCGACUAGGCUUGGGUAACAAAGAAAAUGCAUGCAUUUCAUUUUUUGAUCCUAAGGACUAAAGUGUAAAUAAGUAGAAGUUAGGGGUAAAAAUGUAAUUUUACAAAAGUAUGUGUUAUGGGUUGAUAUGAGAAAUGUGUGUAUUGAACAAGUUAAAUUUGGCAUUAUAGAUCAAGAAAAAUGUGAUUUGGGUCUUGAUCGGGGGAAAAAUAAGGUUUAUGAGGAUAGGCUCGUUUCUAUCAUUUUGUACCGUGGUAAGUUCAUUUGCAAAUAAUGCAACAUGUACCAUAAUUUAAAUGCUUUAAUAUUGCAUGUAUGGUAAGUACAUACAUAUUUAAUGUGAUGUUGUAUAAUGUGUUUAUUGCCUAAAUUGUAUUAUGAAUUAUGCUUGACAAUCCCAUGAAUAUGUGAUUGGUGCUAUGAGUAUUGAAGUCGACGUUACGAGCAAGUUUGACAGAAAUGUGGUAUCAAAGAAUCCAGUUUGAACCUUAGGAGUAGUUUAAGAUACAAGUGACAUGUCACUUUGAACUAUGUGAUCUGGACUGAUUGAGUUGUGGUCUGAGUUCAUGAUAUAUGUGACAUAUGAACUCAGUGAGUUGUGGUCUGACUUCAUGAUGUAUGUGGCACAUGCUUUGGCAUCCGAGCACUGGUCUAGUAUAUUCUACCAGUGGUGAGGUAGUUUAUCAUGUGUUGCAAAUACCCAAUAGCCUAUGUGAGUAGACCUGUGAGAAGCUCAAAAGCGAGCAACAUGUGGUAUGUGAUAUGAGGUAGGAUUGGCUACAUAUGAGGCACUUAGGUGCGAGAUUCUGCUGUAUUUGAUAGUAUUCCGAGUGUUCAAUGGGUAGUUCUAAAGGAAGUUCAAUGAGUAAUUUUGAUGAAUACGUUGAAGACGAGAAAGUAAGCUAUUAUGUGCAAGUGGGCAUAGGUAUGUACAUCGAACUCAUGAGAAUGUCAUGAGAUAUGAUGAACUUAUGGUGAGAAUAUGAAUAUAUAUGUGAAGAAUGAGUUUAAGAGAUUUGAUAAAAUUCAAGAUUAUGUUCAUUAUGUUAAAUGCAUGAUUAAUAGUUAUUUAAGUUGUACUUUAUUUGCAUGUUAACUUACUAAGCUUUAAUGCUUACCCCCUUUCCUUUCUCUUUCUUAUAGUGUUGCCAAGCUAGCUCGGAGAUCAAAAGAUGUCGGAGACUCGAUCACACUAUCAAUUGAAUAUUUGGUAUAGCUAGUCUCAUCAUUUUGAGUAUGGCAUGUAUAGGGACUUGGUCUUUUUGUUACGUGUCAUAUUGAUUAGCCAAAUGUGUUGGCUCAUGAAAGUAUUAUGAUCAUUUUGUAUAUGGCCAUGAGAAGUGGCUUAUAUUGAGUAUUUGGGUUGUAACCCUAAUUAUUGGAGCAUGCAUGCAAAUAUGCUUAUGCUUUAAUAUGGUUAUGGUUGCUUAUGGUUAAUGAGUAUGAUGGAUGACAUGUAUGUUUGGUGUAUGGAAUAUGAUUAAUGUGUAUGACAAUAAAGGUGAUGCAAGUGGGUAACUUGAAAGUUGGUUAGUAAAGAUGAUAGACAAAUAUAAAAUUGGUGUGGAAUGCCAUAUGAAAGCAUGAUAGUUUAAAUAGGUAAUAUGUUGACAUUACCAAGCUAUAAUUUAACCAUGUGAAUGCUUGAAUAUACAAAUGUGCCAUGUUGCAUGCCAUGAAGUGAGUAUAAGUAUGUGAGUGUUUAAGGGUGGAAAUUGGCUUGGAAAAUAGCCUAGAAAUUGUCCACAUGGUUAGACACACGGAUAUGUGUCUUGGUCGUGUGUGACACACGGUCUGCCCCAUGGGCGUGUGAUCCAGCCACGUGUCCGCUGCACCCUAAUAUUGUAAAAUAGAUUGCUAGUAGUAAACACGUGGCAAGAGACACGACCGUAUGUCUCAUCCGUGUGAAGGACAUGGCCUUAGGACAUGGGUAUGUGCCCAGGCCGUGUGAAGUUUGUACUUGAUUUUUGGAAUUUAAUUCGCCACGCGGCCCAAGCACACGGGCGUGUGAGACCACACGGCCUACCCUCACGAGCAUGUGACUCUCCAAAGUAUGAAAAUUUUCUAAGUUUUCCAAAAGUUUUGAAAGUUCUCGGUUUAGUCCCGAACCACUCCUAAGGUUCAUUUUGGUCCUCGUAGGGCCAUAUAAGGGACGUUUUUCUUGUAAAUGAAAAGUUUUAAAUUUGGACAAAAAUUCUUGUCUCGGUUUUAUAUGUUUGAAGUGAGUUUAAGUCUGGUAAUGCCUCAAACCCUGUCCUGGCGUCAGAUACGGGUAAAGGGGUGUUACACUUAAUAUAAUAGGCAAAGCCAUCAAUACAAAUACGAGAGACCAACAAAUUCUUAAGAUCCAUGAUGAUAUCCAAACGAGCAAACCAACCUCGUUUCCUGGUCUUAGUCUUGUAGUCAAUCUUAAGUACAGUGCCCAAAACUUCUGCAAUUGCUCUCAGGGGACUUUUAGUGUAGAAUAUGUAAAUGAGACUAGGAAGUCGCACCGAAACUACCACCUUAUGUGACACCCUAAAUUCGAUCAAAACGGUCCAACUCAUAUCCAUAAGUGUCAUUAGUCACUUAUGGGACUACAUCAUAAACCAUGACACACAACACAAAAUUUUCAUGCAUAAUUAGCAAUCAAACUAUUCAGGAUAAUCAUACAAAUCCUAUAAAGCUUGCUUAUCUAACAAAAUCAUUCAAAAGUCAUUCGAGGGCAAAACUAUUAUUUUGCAUUCAUCAUAUGAAACACUUAUAAAUAAUAAUUUUAGAAAUACAUUUAAAAUCUAGAUUUACGUAAGAAACAAUAUUAAAAGAAUCAGUUUAAACACAUUAGUAAUCCUUGAUUAGUUUAAAAAAAAUAAAGGUUUUAGGGACCAAAUGAUAAAAACAACAAUCUAUACGAAGUAACCAUUUUACGAAACUAUAAGUAGCAUCACAAAAUUAACCAUCUAAACCUUAAUCAUACAAAUUUUCAAACCAUUUUAUAGCAUUUUUUGACUCCAAUUAAAUUACAUAAAACUUGGGACUAGAUUGCAAAGGAAGCAAAACAAGGCAUAAACACUCGAUAUGCCAUGUUAUGGCAACAUGAUUGCCAUGUUUUGACAUAAUUUGGAAGAGGGCUCUUGCCACGAAGAUGCCACUUUUGGCAUUUCAACAUCGAUCCCUCAUGUGACGUCGUCAAACAUCGUGGCAACAUCAUCUGCAAUUUCUAUAGAAAUAGCCCAACAUCUUGCAUUUGUCAUUUUGAGUCCUAACCAAACAUAUGAUUUCGUGCAUUUAGACCUAUUUCUCUAUUCUAACAUGUCAUGUUGCAAGCAUACAUCAUUCAAAACAAGCUCAAAAAAAUUUUAAUACACCUUAGCAAAAUUUGACACCUCGAGUAAUUUGUCAUGCUAGGAUACAAGUCCUUAACUUUACACUUAGUUAUACAACAUACCAUAACAUCCAUUCAUGCUUUCGUCAAGAUCCUAAAUGCUCAUUUUAGACCUAUUUGGCCAUUUAAAACAUACCAAAACAAACGUUUAAGAUAUUAUUCAACCAUUUUUGUCACAUUUUUAUCCAUGAUUUGUUCAAACCUUGAACACAAAACUUCAAUCAACAAUCAUGCAUCAUCAAAAUUAUUAUUCACAAGCAAUCAAAAGAUCACAACCCAAGUUUAAAGUCCUUAACAUAAGUCCUUAAAGUCCAUUUUACAGUUCCAAAAUUAAAAUAGUUGUAACACCCCUAACCCGUAUCCGUCAUCGGAACAGGGUUACAGAGUAUUAACGUAGUCUACUGAACAUUUACAGAUAAUUUAUACUAGUUACUAAACAUUUUCCGAUAUCGAGCAUAACUUCCCUUAAAUGGACCUUCGAGGCCCAAUGUGAAUAUUAGAAAUGAAUUGGGACUCAAUCGGGAUCUCAUAAAAUUUUCCUCACAAUUUUAAAAGUUUUGCUUAUGAACAGUACCCACACGCCCGUGUGGUCGGGCCGUGUGACUACACACGCUCGUGUUCCUAAACUGUGUAACUCUUUGACUUAUAAGGCACGAAGAAAUUAAAGUCACACGGCCAAGUUACAUGCCCGUGUGCUAUGUAACAACCUAUUUUUCGGUGAAAUUGGAACAAUGGUUUCGGGACCACAAAUUCGACCUAAAAAUAAAUCUUAUUUUUAUUUUAUUAUAUGGUCUGUAUUAUGAUAGACAUGUCGCGUGAAAAAUUUGAUACAGAAAUUUUAUUGAAUAAGUGUUUAAUUACGAGAAGGACUAAAUCGCAUAAAAUGUGAAAGUUGAAUUCUAGUAGCUAUAAGGAUUAAAUAGCUAUGGAAUUCAAAUCUAGAGGUCCUUAUAUGGUAAUUAGACCACUAAAGAAAAGUAUGUAGAUUUUUGGUGACUCAUCCAUGGAAAAAUUAGAAAAGGCUAGGGACUAAAUUGGAAAUUGAAAUAAUUAAUUAAUUAAAAGAUGAUAAAAAGAAAAUAUCAUCUUAUUUUUGUCAUCUUCAACCCCAAAAUUUUAUGGAAACCCUAGGAGAGAGAGAGAAGAAACUUUCAAGGCUUAAUUGGAUCCGGACAACAUAAAUUCGAAGAUAGAUCGAGGGAAAGAAAAAGUUUCGAAUUAGUAGAUUUUUACGCGAACAAGUGUCAAGGUAAGUUCGUGUAACUUAAUCGAGCUUGUAAAUAUGUUUAAUUGAAUGUUGUGUUUAUAUGGAAUGUGACUUAUAUUGAUGUACAUUAUUUGAAUGCUAUAAUGAAAAAUUUAAUACAUUCUUGAAAUGGUGAAAAAGAGUUAAGUCCUGAUUGAAUAUUGGAUUCCGAUGAUUAUAUGUGCUUCCCCGAAAUGAAUAAGGUCCUGCAUUUGUUAAGGACAGGAUUCAGCUCAGAUGAGCAAUCUUAUUGACCUUGUUAUAGAAAGGAUUUUGCCCUGACAAGUAAUCCUGAUAUAAUACCUCUUGAGUAUACGUUACGAUUAGGGUUUAGUCUAGACUGAUAAUCCUAAUUGAGCUCUUCUAAGCAUACGUUAUAUAAAGGAUUUAACCUGGACUGGUAAUCAUGUUAUACAAUAUAUGGCUCGAGAGUGUGAUCCUUGAUUAAGUGCCCUAAUAGAUACCCUCGAAUAAGACUUGACAGAUUAUGGAACCGUACACCUCGAGUGUACUACUUGAGCAUCCAUUGGAAUUUCAAUGAUUAAACAAACACAACUCUUAACAUGGUAAGAGAAUUUUGAGAUGAAAUGAUAAUGACUUAAAAGAAUAUUGCAUGGUGAGCUUAUCUAUGUUUACUUGAUUGAUAUGAAGAUUUUUGUGACUAACAAGUUUGAUUGAAUGCAUGUGUUUAGGCAAUUUUGCUAAUGGAUGGAAAGCAUGAUAUUGUAUGCUUAGAUUUAAUAAACAGGACUGGUAAGUUUAGUUUCUAUUAUACAAACUUACUAAGCAUGUAAUGCUUAUUCCAUUUUAUUUUCCCUAUUUUAUAGUGCUCGGAAGCUAACGAAGGUUGGAGGUCAUUGGAGCAUCGUCACACUAUCAUCUAGCUUAUUUUGGGUAUACUUAGCAAAAUCAUUUUGGUAUAAUGGCAUGUAUAGGACAACUUGGUCAUUAGUGGCAUGAAAAUGAUGUUAUGUAACCUAGCCAUUGGAAUGGCUAGUAAUGGCUUAUUUUGGUAUGAUUAAGUAGGUUAUUAUGAUAUAUUGAUAUGUGAUGCGUUAAGUAUAUGUGAUCAAAUGGUGUUAAUGCCUAAGUUAAAUCAAGGUAAGUUUAUAAAAACAUAUGCAUGUAAUGGUAUGCCAUGAUGAAUGAUGAAAUUGUUUAAUUUGAAUGCUUGGAAUGGCUGGUAUUGGAUGUGUGUUUCAAGUGCAAGUCUUGGGUGAAAGUUUGAGUGAGAAAUGAAGCUAGAAAUGGCUUCAUUUUAUCCACAUGGGCAGGCAAAUGCGUGUGUCUAGAACGUGUGUGACACACGGCCUGGUAAUAUGGGCAUGUGGUUAGGCCGAGUGUCCCCUGAACCUUAAUUUUGAGAAAUAGAAUGCUCAGAAUUAAGCACACGGGCAGAGACACGGGCAUGUGUCUCAGUCGUGUGUGCUACACAGUCUAGAACACUGGCGUGUGUCUUGGCCGUGUGAAACCUGCACCUAAUUUCUAAUUGGAUUAAUUAACCACACGGCCUAGCACACGGGCGUGUGGCAUGGCCAUGUGCACAAGUCAGAGAGUUACAUGGGGUCAAAUACAGCCUCUAGCACAGGCGUGUCCCAGGGACACACGGAUGUGUCCCUUGGACCACAUGGGCAUGUGAGCCCUACACCUUGGAAAAUUUUUGAAAUGUUGCAAAAAAUUCUUAGAGUCAUUAAUUAAGUCCCAACUCGACUCUAAUGCUCGUAUUAGGCCUUGAGGCUCCAAUUAAGGGACAUUUUAGAUUAUUUCGGUUAAUGAGUAGUAAUUUACAUUAAUUAUUUGUAAAAUGUUCUGAAAGUUCUAGUAAUGCUCCAAAAUCCUGUUUCGACGACAUAUAUGGGUUAGGGGUGUUACAUGCUAAGCCGUGUGGUAAAUUUUAUUUGCGAAAUUUAGGUGUAGUUUUCACACAGCCGUGUAAAAUGCCCGUGUUCAAGGCUGUGUCAACCGCACAGUGGAGACACAUGCCCGUGUCUUUGCCCAUUUGGCCAAUUCUGAGCAUUCUGUUUCUCAUUUUUAAGGGGACACACAGCUGGACCACAUGCCCAUGGGACAAGCCGUGUGUCACACACGGCCAAGACACACGCUCGUGUGUCUACCUGAGUAGACAAAAUAAAGUCAUUUCCUAGCCUCAUUUGUCACCCAAAACUUAUCAUUUUCUUGCACCCAAACUCCCAAGCAUAUAUCCACCAAUCCAACAUCAUAUUCACAUAAAAUUAGUCAUCAAUCAUGUGGUAUUAUCAAUGCAUCAAUGGAUAUAAACUUAUAUGCUAACAUAAUUCCAUCAAACCAACACACAGUAAGCAUUUGUGUAAUUACCAAAACAUAACUUUUAAGAUAACCAAAUUAGAUCAUCACUAGCCACUCCAAUGCCUAGUUUACAAAACAACAAUUACAAGCCAUCAUUGGCCAAAUAAGCUUAUACAAGCCAUUAUUCCAAAAUGAGAUUUCUAUUUAUACCAAAAUGUGAUAGUGGAUAGUGUGAUGAUUGCUUCAACCGACUUCCAUCCUUCGCAAGCUUUUAAGCACAAUAAAACAGGGAAAAUUAAACGGAGUAAGCACUUGAUGCUUAGUAAGUUCGUAUAACAGAAAAUAAACUUACCAAUCAUAUUUAUCAAUACAGCAUACAUUGUCAUACUUCCCAUAAAUUUUGGGUAAGUUUACCUAAACACAAACACUUAAUCAAACAAGUUAAUCACAUAACCUCAUAUAAGAAUUAAGUAAACAUAGACGAGCUCAUCAAAUUAUCAGCAUACAUUAAUUUCACCUUUCCACACUUCACGAGUCGUUUUCGUCGAACUAUUGAAAUUUCAAUGGAUGUUUGGGUAAUAUACUCAUGUGCAAAAGUACCCAUUAAGGUACAUAAUAUAAUGGCACACUCUUGAGUCGCACAUUUUACAGCAGGAUUACCAGUCCAGUCUAAAUACUAUCCGUAGCGUAUGCUCUAGAGAGCUUAAUUUGGAUUACCCAUUCGGGCUAAAUCCAAUUUAUAACCUAAGCUCAAGAGGGAUUACAUUAGAAUUACCCGUCUGGGCUAAAUUCUAUCUGCAACAUGUGCAGUAUUGUUCUUAUUCCAGAAUCACCUUAAUCCAUCAAAAUUCAACAUUUAUCCGGAACAUGACAAUUUGUCCAUAUUUCACAAUUUAUGACUAUUUUCUUAUGUAUCUCAUCUCAUACAUAUCAACACAAUCAUACAAUUCUAUUCAAUCAUAUUAACAUACAUACAUAAGUUACACGAACUUACCUUGGUAAUGGUUCGUAUUUGAAUUUCAACUAAUCUGAAACCUUUUGCUUUCCUCGAUCUAGUUCCAUAGUUGGUCAUUCUGGAUCUAUUUGGGUAAAUUUAACUAUUUGGGUAAAUUUAACUAUUAAUCUAUCACAUUUCAUAUACAUUUGCAUCCUAUUACAUCCUAGUCAAAAUUAUCAUUUUGCUCCUAUCUUUUUUAGAAAUUCUGAUUUCGUCCCUAGUCUUGGAAAAUGAAAUUCAUGAAAUUUAACCCUCUUUGCAAGCUUAACCGAAAUUUAUAUACUACAUUUACAGCACACACAUUUCAAAAUUUUCAAAAUUUUCCAUGGGUUUUACCACUUUUUCAUUUUAGUCCCUAAAUUAAGUUUUCAUCGAAAAUUACUUUGUAAAAGUUGUUUAUCUAUGAAUAACUUAUCAUUUUCUACCAUAAAUUUCAAAUUUUCUGCAUAGUCAUCCAUACCCAAAUUUCAUACCUUGAUAACUUUUCAAAUAAAUACCCUAAAUAGAAAGAUUAGAUUAUCCCGAUUCUAAAAAUAUAGAAAUUACUAAAAAUGGGACUUGAUUUCAUACCUUUUUAAGCUUGAAAAGUUUUCUUCCUCUCUCCUAGGGUUUCCAUAGAAAAAAUUGUGAAAGAUGAUAUGAAAAUAGAUGAUUUUUUUCUUUUUAAUUAAUUAUCAUAUAUUAAUUUUAUUGAUUUCCAAUUUAGUCCAUAACCCUUUUUUAAUUUUUCCAUGGAUGAGUCAUUAAAAUAUCUACAUACUUUUCUUUAAUGGUCUAAUUACUAUAUAAGGACCUCUAGUUUUGAAUUCCAUAGCUAUUUGAUACCUAUAGCUACUAGAACCCAACUUUUUCAUUUUAUGCAAUUUAGUCAUUUCCCUAAUUUAACACACAAUCGGUAAAAUUUUCAUGUGACCUUCCUAUCAUUAUGUCAACCAUAAAAUAAAAAUAAAAGAAAUUUUUAUUUUUGGCUCGGAUUUGUGGUCCCGAAACCACUGUUUCAACCUCACUGAAAAUGGGUUAUUACAAUAGUCUAGUCCCAUAAAAACAACCCAGAUUGUCUUUAUUAAUGAGUUCAAAAACCUCAACACAAACUCAACUAAGUUGCCUUGAAUAGAUCACUUUGCUUGCCCAGUUCCCCCUCUUCAAUUGAGAUAUCUCUCUACAAAAUAUGUAAACACGAGCGUGAGAUUUUCAAAACUCAGUGAAUGCUCAAGGAUGCCACAAUAAAACACAAUAUCCGAGGUUAAAGGAAAGCAUACUCAGGCAAACAAUCAUGACACUUUUAAGCAUAAUUCAAUCAAUUCACAAUUGAAAUAAAAUUACUUGUUUUUCGAGAUCCCACUAUAAAUUCCAUCCAUAUAGAUUUUGAUCGUUUGGCUACUCGUGAUAUGAAAAAUAUAUAUACAAAUGUAUCUCAUUAGAAAAACAAAUCUCUAACACACCAAUGACUCAAAGAGUCUAACAUGUUCUGUAACACCCCUAACCCGUAUCCGUCGCUGGAAUAGGGUUACGAGGUAUUACUGGACAAUAUAACUUUUACCAAACAUUCAAUAUCGCAUAUCAUUCAUUCACAUAGACGAAGUCCCUUAAAUAGGCCUAUGAGACCCUAAAAUAUGCUUAAGAGUGGUUUGGCACUAAACUGAUUACAUAAAAAAAUUUCUGAACACUUAGAUAAAUUUCAUGAAAUUAUAGGUCACAGGCACGUGUGAACAGGCCGUCUGUCUCACAUGGCCACCAGACACGCCCAUGGCUCAGGCCGUGUGAAAACAAGGCAUACAUACUGACUUGUACCACAUGGCCAAAGACACACCCAUGUGCCAUGGCCGUGGGAAAACUAGGGAGGUUACUGAAUUAGGUCACACGGUCGACCACAUGCCUCUGUGUCUAUCCUGUAUACCCUUCGAAAUGGCCACAAACACCCGUGUGCUAGGCCGUGUGCCAUUUAGAAGGUAUACUGACUUAUGUCACAUGGCCAGUCACACGCCCAUGUGUGAGUCCGUGUGACAUACACAGCCAAUUGACACGCCUGUAUGUCUAGGCCCUGUCAAUCCUGUAGGAUAUACUGACUUAAUUCGUAGGGUACCCCAAGGGACACAUGGCCGUGUAACAUGACCGUGUGUCACACACGACUGAGACACACGCUCGUGUCUCUACCUAUAUGGACAAAAAUAGGCCAUUUGAAAGGCCAAUUUGUCACCCUUUCCACAAGCACACAAAAUAACCAAAAUAUUUCCAUUUCAAUAUAUCUUUAAGCAACCAAAAAUAUAUCAAAUCAUUAAGCCAAACAUCACAAUUUACCUAAUUCCAAAUACAUUAACUCAUAAACUUAUCAUCUAUUUUAAGUCACUUAUUAUACUAUAUUAUCAUCUCAAAUCAAACCACAAUAUGCUAGCUUCCAAGCAUUAGCACAUCAAUUAAAAACUAAUCAAAAUAACCAACACAUAGUCACACCAAAUAAGCCAACAUAUAAGGUAUUAUAUACUUCACAUAUAUAACACUUACUAAACACACACAAACAUGUACAUCAUUUACAAACCAAAUCUCAUGGCUAAAGUCAUGGUUCAAAACUUAUCAACAUUUCACUAGCCUAUACAUGCCAUAUACCAUAAUUACAUGCUUCAAAAGUACCAACUAGUUGAUAGAUAGUGUGAUGAUACUUCUUGAUGAUCCCCGAGUCCAAGCUAGCUUUGAUAAUCUAUAUAACAGAGGAUGAAUACACAAAGUAAGCUUUAAAAGCUUAGUACGCCAUAUGCAAAUAAAUCUAUACCAUAAUCAACAUCAUUCUCAUCAAAGAAAAUUAUAUCUAAACACAUUUAUAUACACAAACCUUUCUCAAAGUACAUCUACUCCAAUUCACAUGUAAAUUCAUUAAAUACUUACUCUUUCCAAUUCUCUUAUGAGUCUCGUACAUACCUGAAUCACUUACUCAAUCACAUAUUGAAUCUUGACUUGACUUUGCCCUAUGAACUCUUCUGAAUCACUAAGGAUACUUGGAUAUCUCGUAAAGCUCGAACAAUGUCAUAUCCCAGAUAUAGUCUUACUUGUCAUCAUAUAUCGAUCCCAAUGUCCCAGACGUGGUCUUACACGAAAUCAUAUAACGAUGCCAAUGUCCCAGACAUGGUCUUACACGUAAACACAAUCCUAUGCCAAUGUCCUAGACAUGGUCAUACAUGUAAUCUCAUCUUGAUAAACCUAAUGUCAUAACAUUUGCAUCCUAAGCAUUCCUAAAGUUCGUAUGGGACUUUCGGACGUCAUAAUUCUAUCAUUUCUUACUCGUAGUUUCUCGUUCAUACUCAUUGCAAUUCAAUGACAAUUAAUACAUAUCUAAUUCAAUUGAAAAGCAUGUAAUUGCAUAUGGACUUACCUCGUAGUCCAAAAUAACAGAAGGGGUUGACUAUUCCUCUACUUUCGAUUUUCCCUGAUCAAAAUUUGUUUUCCUUCGUUCUUGAUCUAUAUACAUUCAAAAUUAACUUAUUUAAUCACCUAUUCAUUAAAUUUCAUCCACAAACACAUAUUUGGGCAUUUUUACACUUUAUCCCUAAACUUUCACAUUUCCUACAAUUUAGUCCUUAUUGUAUAAAUACACAAAAUUCACAAAAUUCAAUAAGACCCAUGCUUGGCCGAAUUACACUUAUGCCCUUAGUAGCCCAUAUCUUUCAUUCAUUUCACAUUUUAACCCCUCAAUUUACACUUUUCUGAAUUCAAUCACUAACUGACAUUUUUGUCAAAAAUCACUUUACAAAACAUGUAUAUCAAACACCAAUCUUGCAUAAUUCAUCAUUAAACAUUCAAGAACAAAUGAAUUCAUCAAUGGCAACUUUCGCAAUCAUCAACAUUUUCAAAAAUUGAGGUGUGGGCUAGUCAGUACUCAAAGCAACUAUCACAGAAACGUAAAAAUCAUCAAAAACCGAGCAAAGAACAUAUCGUAAUCAAGAUCAAUGUGUGUCAAAUACUAUUGCCUUCCAAAACUCUAUUGUCCUUUUGUUAUUCGGUUGCCAAAGAUGAAUGAACACAAAUUUUUAGUUUUGUUAUAUUAUAAUUAUAACUUAAUAAUCAAUUUACUAAUAUAACCUUAUUAUAAACCUUUUAAAAACAUCAUAUUAAUGUCCAUAUAUGUCAAAUUUCACUAUCAAAGGUCUAAUUAUAACAUAAGGACCUCUCAUUUAAUAAGCCCUGACAAUUAAGCACUUUUAACUUAUAGAAUGCAAUUUUUGCAUUUUAAGUGAUUUAGUCCUUUAGUCAAAUUAAUUAAUUAAAUGAUAAAAUUAUCACACAAAAAUUUCACACAUAUAUAUUCACAUACUGUAAGCACCAAAAAUUUUAAUAAAAUAAUUUUACGAACUCGGAUUUGUGAUUCUAAAACUACUAUUCUGAUUUAGCUAAAACUGAGCUGUUACAACUCUCCCCCAUAGGGAUUUUUGUCCCCAAAAAUCUUACCAAUGAAUAGGUUUGGAUAUUAUUUUCUCAUAGCAUCCUCAGGUUCCCACGUAGCUUUUUCAACCCCGUUUCGAUGCUUCAUUAAUGCAAUUUUCUUAUUUCUUAACUCUUUGAUUUCAUGAGCUAGAAUUCGAAUCGGUUUAUCUUCGUAUGUCAUAUCGGACUGAAUCUCAAUCUCAGAGGUAAAAAUUACAUACGAGGGAUCGGAUCUGUAACAUCGAAGCAUUGAUAUGUGAAAUACAUUAUAAAUCUUUUCUAACUCAAGUGGCAACAAAAAUUUAUAAGCAAUCGGCCCAAUACGCUCAACAAUCUCGUACGACCCAAUGAAUCAUCGGAUUGAAUCUCAAUCUCAGAGGUAAAAAUCACAUGCGAGGGAUCGGAUCUGUAACAUCGAAGCAUUGAUACGUGAAAUACAUGAUGAAUCUUUUCUAACUCAGGUGGCAACAAAAAUUUAUAAGCAACCAGCCCAAUACGCUCAACAAUCUCGUACGACCCAAUGAAUCUAGGACUUAACUUGCCUUUUCUACCAAAUCCAAGUAUUUUCUUCCAUGGAGACACUUUCAAAAAAACUUGAUCUCCGAUUUGAAACUCAGUAUCUUUUCGUUUCAAAUCUGCGUACGAUUUCUAAUGAUCUGAUGCUGCUUUUAAGUUUUCACAAGUCACUUUCACUUCCUAUUCCAUCUCAAAUCAACCCCGUGAAUCUUAUUCUCACUGAGCUCAGUCCAAUACAAAGAUGUUCGGCAUUUGCGAUCGUACAAUGCUUCGUAAGGUGCCAUUUUUAUACUCGAUUGAAAACUAUUAUCAUGCCCAAAUUCAACCAAUGGAAAGUAUCAUUCCCACGUACCUUCAAACUUAAGAAUGCAACAACUCAACAUAUCCUCAAGUAUCUGAAUAAUUCACUUGGAUUGACCAUCUGUUUGCAGAUGAAAAGCAGUACUAAAGUGUAGCUUUGUACCCAGUGCAUCUUGUAAUUUCUUCCAAAAACGUGAUGUAAAUCUCAAAUCUCUAUCUAAAACAAUAGAAAUAGGUAUUCCCUUUAAUCUUACAACCUCAGAAAUGUAGAAGUUAGCUAAUUUAUCGAGCGAAUAAUCUGUUCAUACCGGAAUGAAAUGAGCUGAUUUGGCCAGUCUAUCAACAAUCACUUAUAUCGCUUCUUUCUUACUGAGAGAUAGGGGCAAACCCGAUACAAAAUCCAUAGUGAUUCUGUCCCAUUUCCGUUCAAGAACCGUAAUAAACUGUAGUAACCCAGACAGAUUAAGCAUUUCGAAACAAAUUUAGAGAUAUCACGCUUCAUACCAGGCCACCAAUAAAACUGUCUUAGAUCGUUAUAUAUUUUCGUACUUCUCAGAUGAACAGAUAACCAACUGCUAUGAGCUUCAUAUAAAAUCAUCUAAUUCAACUCUAAAUUUCUUGGAAAACAUAUUCGGUCUCUAAAUCUUGAACAAUCAUCAACAUCAACUCAAAAUUCUGAAUUAAAAUUCAAAUCACAUUGAGGUCAUUUUGCUAACAAUUAAUUAUCAACUUUCUGAGCUUAGCAAAUCUGCUAUAUAAAUAACUGUCUUACUUUUAACUCAGCUACAAUUGAGCCGUCAUCAGAUAGAGUCAUCUGAGCAUUCAUCGCACCUAGUGCAAACAAAGAUUUUUUACUUAUAGCAUCAGCCAGAACACUAGCCUUUCCCGGAUAGUAGUAAAUCACUAGCUCGUAAUCUUUCAACAAUUGCAACCAUCUCCGCUGUCGCAAAUUCAAGUCUUUUUCAGUCAUCAAAUAUUUUAAGCUAUUAUGAUCAGAAUAAACAUGACAUUUUUCACCGAACAGAUAAUGGCGUCAAAUCUUCAACACAAACACAAUAGCUGCUUGUUCCAAAUCGUGCUUUGGGUAAUUAUUUUCAUGCGUUUUCAAUUAUCUCAAGGCAUAAGCUAUGACUUUUCCUUCCUACAUCAAAACAUAGCCCAGACCAUUCAAUGAUACAUCACUAUAAAUUAAAAAUUCUUUACCUGAUUCUGGCUGAACUAACACUGGAGCUUCGGUCAAUAAAGCUUUCAGCUAAUCAAAACUUUUCUGGCACUUGUCUGACCACUCAAACUUAACAUCUUUCUGAAGUAGUCUCGUCAAUGGAGUUGUAAUCAUUGAGAAGCCUUUUACGAAUCGCCUGUAAUAACUAACGAGUCCCAGAAAACUUCAAACUUCGGAUACAUUUCUCAGAGGCUUCCAAACUAAUAUUGUCGAAAUCCUUCCCAAAAAACUGACUUCGUGCAACCAAAAUUUGCAUUUACUAAACUUCGCAAACAACUGCUUAUCACGCAAAGUCUGUAGCACUAUUCUCAGAUGUUCGGCAUUCUCGAAUUCAUCACGAGAAUAAAUUAAGAUGGCAUCAAUAAACACAACAACAAAUCUAUCCAAAUACGAUCUAAAGAUCCAAUUUAUUAGAUCUAUAAAAAUAGCAGGUGCAUUUGUUAGUCUGAAAGGCAUAACUAAAAACUCAUAGUGUCCGUACCUCAUUCGAAAAGCAGUUUUCAGCACGUCAGAGUUUUUAACUCGCAACUGAUAGUAACCUGAUCUCAAAUCUAUCUUUAAAAACACUGUAGCCCCUUUCAACUGAUCAAACAAAUCGUCUAUUCGUGGUAGAGGGUAUUUAUUCUUGAUAGUCGAUUUUUUGAGUUGUCGAUAUUCGAUGCACAUUUUAAUAGUUCUGUCUUUCUUUUUCACAAACAAAACCAGUGCACCCCAGGGAGAAUAACUCGGUCGUACGAAACCUCUAUCUGUUAACUCUUGCAACUGAGCUUUCAACUCUUUUAAUUCAGUCGGUCCCAUUCUAUACAGAGCUAUCGAUAUCAAAGUUGUUCCCAGCACUAACUCAAUACCAAAUUCAACUUCUCUAAUCGGUGGUAAACCCUGUAACUCUUUAGGAAACACAUCCAAAUAUUCACAUACAACUAGUACUGAUUCAAUCUUAUUUUCAGUCACUUUAGUGUCGAGCACAUAAGCAAAAUAAGCUUCACACCCUUUUCUCACAUAUUUUUGAGCUAACAUCGAAGAAAUCACUGCCGGCAACCAUUCAAGUCAUUAAACUCAAUACAAAUUAUCUCACCAUUCUGACAUCUCAGAUCAAUUGUCUUUCAUUUGUAGUUCACUAUUGCAUCAUGCAGUAUCAACCAAUCCAUACCCAUAAUUAUAUCAAAUUCGUCGAAUGGAAACAAUAUCAAAUCGGCCAGAAAACAGGAAUCUCAAAUCAUCAACUGACAGUUCUUGCAUAUUUUAUCAACCAGAACACACUUGCCUAAUGGGUUCAAUACUCUAAUCACAAAUUUAGUAGACUCUACAGGCAAAGUCUUACUGGAUACUAAGUUUAUACAUAUACACUAAUGAGUAGAUCCAGGAUCAAUUAAUGCAACAACACUAGUAUCAUAGAGAGUGAAAGUACCGGUAAUAACAUAUGGAGAUGAAGCUUCUUCGCGAGCACAAAUAGCAUAAGCUCUAGUAGGUACUCGAGCUUCAGAUCUCACAGCAGUGACUUUAAUAAUUAUCUGGCUACCACUCACAUUAUUUGUGUUUCUAGGUUGUCUACCUCUAGCCGUAGUGUUGCUCGGCCUCUUAUUCUGUAUUAUAUCUUGCUCAGCCAACUCAAGAUAUUAACGGAUAAAAUGAUCUAAUGAUCCACAUUUGAAACAAGCCCAAUCAUUCCAUCUACAAUUGUCUGGAUGUCGUUUACCAUAAUUUUUGCAUUCAGGUUGAUUUGGUCAGACAUUUCCAACACUAGCUAUUGAAGUAACUUUUGAACUCAUAAGUGGCCUCUCUCGAUCUCAUCUAGAAUAACCAGCAUUAGACUUUGAACGGCUAAAAUCAUUUCGGAAUCUCUUUGAUGUCGACUGAAAUGACUUACUUGAUGAUCUUUUACAUACUUCUCUAGCUUUUGAGUCAACUUUGCUUUUCUCUUUCCCGAGUUCCUUAACUUUACACGCUCGUUCGACAAGCACAACAAACUCUUUUAUUUCCAAAAUCCCAACUAACAAGUGAAUAUCUUCAUUCAAACCAUCUUGAAAUAUCUUGCACAUAAUUGCUUCGGUCGAAACAUAUUCUCAUGCAUAUUGACUUAAUCGCACAAAUUCUCGCUCAUGUUCCGUAACAAACAUACGGCCCUGUUUUAGCUCAAGUAACUUUUUAUGUUUCUAAUCUAUGAAUCUCUGACUGAUAUACUUUUUUCUAAACUCAGUCUGAAAGAACUCCCAAGUGACUCAUUCUUUCGGAACCAUAGAUAUUAACGUUUUCCAUCAAUGAUACGCCGUAUCUCUCAGAAGUGAAAUAGCACAUUUAAGACAUUCAUCAGGAGUACAUGACAAGGACUUGUGGAGGAUUAGACAGGGUUGAAGGUUGUGGAGCAGCCGGAUUAGUUCUAAUAUACUGAGUGAACCACUCAUUCAUCAUCAAGAAGAAGGCUUGCUUAGCCUCUCCCUCGUGGCUAUUAGAUACAAGUCUAGAAUCAGAUUGUACUGCCCCUUGAGCAGGAGCGGGUGCAUUACUUUCAACAUCGUCAGCUACGACUCGAUUGGGAUCCAUUUGCUAUAUAAAAACACAUUUUAAUUGUCAGGAAUCAUCACACUAUCGUAUUUUACAAAUAUGGCAUGUAUAGCUAGACUCACACGCACUACAUUAGUCAUAGAAUCGACUAAACUGUAGCUCUGAUACCAAUAAAUGUAACACCCCUAACCCGUAUCUAUCGCCGAAAUAGGGUUACGAGGUAUUACCGAAAAAUAUAACAUUUAUCAAACAUUCAAUAUAACAUAUCAUUCAUUCACAUACAUUAAGUCCCUUAAAUAGGUCUACGAGACCAUAAAACAUGCUUAAGAGUGGUUCAGGACUAAACCGAUUACAUAUAAAAAUUUCUGAAUAGUUAGAAAAAUUUCAUGAAAUUAUAGGUCACAUACCAGUAUGAACAGACCGUGUGUCUCACACGGCCACUAGACAUGCCUGCGGCUCAGGUCGUGUGAAAACAGGGCAUACAUACUGACUUGUACCAUACGGCCGAAAAAACACCCAUGUGCUAUGGCUGUGGGAAAACUAGGGAGGUUACUGACUUGGGUCACACAGCCGACCACACACCCGUGUGUCUAUCCCGUGUACCUUUCGAAAUGGCCACACACGCCCGUGUGCUAGGCCGUGUCCAUUUAGGGGGUAUACUGACUUAUGUUACACGGUCAUUUACACGCCCGUGUGUGAGUUCGCAUGACACACACGGCCAUUAGACACGCCCGUAUGUCUAGGAUAUACUGCCUUAAUUCGUAGUGUACCCUAGGGAACACACGACCGUGUAACAUGACCAUGUGUCACACAUGGCUGAGACACACGCUUGUGUCUCUGCCCAUGUGGAUAAAAAUAGGCCACUUAAAAGGCCAAUUUGUCACCCUUUCCACAUGCACACAAAACAACCAAAAUAUUUCCAUUUCAAUACAUCUUUAAGCAACCAAAAAUAUACCAAAUCAUUAAGCCAAAACUAUCACAAUUUACCUAAUUCCAAAUAUAUUAACUCAUCAACUUAUCAUCUAUUUUAAGUCACUUAUUAUACCAUAUCAUCAUUUCAAAUCAAACCACAAUAUGCUAGCUUCCAAGCAUUAGCACAUCAAUUAACGACUAAUGAAAAUAACCAACACAUAAUCACACCAAAUAAGCCAACAUAUAAGGUAUUAUAUACUUCACAUAUAUAACACUUACCAAACACACAUAAAUAUGUACAUCAUUUGCAAACCAAAUCUCAUGGCUAAAGUCAUGGUUCAAAACUUAUCAACAUUUCAGUAGCCUAUACAUGCUAUAUACCAUAAUUACAAGCUUUAAAAGUACCAACUUGUUGAUAGAUAGUGUGAUGAUGCUUCCUGACGAUCCCCGAGUCCAAGCUAGCUUUGAUAAUAUAUAAAAUAGAGAAUGAAUACACAAAGUAAGCUUUAAAAGCUUAGUAAGCCAUAUGCAAAUAAAUUGAUACCAUAAUCAACAUCAUUCUCAUCAACUAAGAAAAUUAUAACUAAACCCAUUUAGAUAGACAAACCUUUCUCAAAGUGCAUCCAUUCCAAUUCACAUGUAAAUUCAUGAAAUACUUACUCUUUCCAAUUCUUGUAUGACUCUCGUAAGUACCUGAAUCACUUACUCAAUCACAUAUUCAAUCUUAACUCAACUUUGCCCAAUGAACUCUUUGAAAACACUAAGGAUACUCGGAUAUCUCGUAGAGCUCGUACAAUGCCAUAUCCAAGAUAUGGUCUUACAUGUCAUCAUAUAUCGAUGCCAACAUCCCAAACGUGGUUUUACACGAAAUCAUAUAAUGAUGCCAAUGUCCCAGACAUGGUCUUACAUGUAAACACAAUACAAUGCAAUGUCCCAGACAUGGUCUUACAUGUAAUCUCAUCUUGAUAAACCUAAUGUCAUGACAUUUGCAUCCAAAGUAUUCCUAAGGUUCGUACGGGACUUCUAGACAUCGUAAUUCUAUCAUUUCUUCCUCGUAGUUGCUCAUUCAUAAUCAUUGCACUACAAUGACAAUUAAUACAUAUCUAAUUCAAUUUAAAAGCAUGUAUUUGCAUCUAAACUUGUCUCAUAGUCGGAAGUAACGACGUGGUCGAAUUUUUGUCUACUUUCAAUUUUCCCUGAUCAAAAUCUGUUUUCUUUCAUUUGAUCUAUAUACAUUCAAAAUUAACUUAUUUAAUCACCUAUUCAUUCAAUUUCAUCCACAAACACAUAUUUGGUCAUUUUUACACUUUAGCCCUAAACUUUCACUUUUCUUGUAAUUUAGUCCUUACUUCAUAAAUACACAAAAUUCAAUAAAAUUCAAUAAGACCCAUGCUUGGCCGAAUUACCCUUAUGCCCUUAGUUGCCAUAUCUUUCAUUUAUUUCACAUUUUAACCCCUCAAUUUACACUUUUCUCAAUUUAAUCCCUAAUUGACAUUUUUAUCAAAAAUCACUUUACAAAACAUGUAUCCCAAACACCAAGCUUGCAUAAUUCAUCAUUAAACAUUCAAGAACACAUGAAUUCAUCAAUUGCAACUUUUAGAAUCAUCAACAUUUUCAAAAAUUGUGGAAUGGGCUAGCUAGUACUCAAAGCAAAAAUUGCAAAAACGUAAAAAUCAUCAAAAAUCAAGCAAAGAAAUUACCUUAAUCAAGAUCAAUGUCUAAUAGCCUAACUUUGGGGAUAGUCGAAACAGUGGUUUUAGAACCACUAACCCGAGGUUAAGGAAAUUAUUUUUUACAUAUUAUUUUAUGUAUUGUAGCAUGAUUAGAUAAGUACAUGAAAAUUUUGGUGAAUAAAUUUUAGCGAUUGCUUGCUUAAUUGCGAAAAAGGACUAAAUCGCAUAAAGUACAAAAGUCUUAAAUUGUUAGCUAAAGGUGUUAAAUUGCUAUGAAUCUUAAUUUGGGGGUUUUUAAAGGACAAUUAUACCCUUUCCUAAGAACUUGGCCGGCCAUAGGGAACAAUUUGGCCAAAAAGUAAAAGGUUUAGGUGGUUUGGUGACUUAAUUGAAUAAAAUAAGACAAGAUAACUUCAUCCUUUCAUUCUUUUCUCCUACCAUCGGAAUUUUCAGCCAUUAGAGGGGUUUUUGAGCUUCAAAAUUUCAACAACUCUAAGCCUUUGCAAGUAAGUGAUUCUUAUUAGUUCUCUUAAUGAUUUUUACAUUUUUGGACCCCUUGAAGCAUGAGCUUUCAAAUGAGGGGACUAUUUUGCAAGAUAGAUAAGAGUCUAGGAUUUUACCAUGAAAGCAUGUGUGUUGAUAACUGAAAUUUUAUGGAAGAAUAUGAGUCUUAGAUGGGUAAUAAAAAAACUUUUGUGAAGGGAUUUCUUAUGAAAACCCUAUUAGGGACUAUUUUGUAUAAAUUGUAAACUAGAUGAUAAAUGUGAGAAAUAGUGCAAAUUUUGGAUUUCGAUAAGAGUAAAAAGGGUUCGACUAGGCUUAUUAUAUAAAGAAGUCUGAUAAAAAGAUUGAUUUUCGAGCAUAGGGGUAAAAUGGUCAUUUUGUGAAAGUAUAUAGAAAAAUAGUCAUUUUGCCCUAUUAUGAAAUUUGAGUGUAUAAAUCAAUGUGCUGAUGAAAUAAAUGAAUUUGAUUAAUUUAGAUCAAGAAAAAUGUGAUUCGGGUCUUGAUCGGGGUAAGAAUAAAGGUUACGAGGAUUAAGCACGUCUUCAUCAUUUUGUAUCGAGGUAAGUACAUAAGUAAAUAAUGUGUUAACAAAAGUUAUUUAAAACUACCUUGAUAAUGUACAUGUGCAAUUAGCUUAUUGUGGUUAUGUACCUAAAGUUUAAAUUGUUGCCAUGAAUGUGUAACUGACAUGUUCUUCGAGUAUAAAACAUUGCGAGCAAAUGCGAUGCUAUUCGGUUAAACAUGAAAUCCCAUUGAACCCUAGAUAUAGCAUAGGAUACGAAGGGGUAUGUCAUGAAAAUUUUGUGGUCUGAACUCAUGAGUUGAGUCUGAGUUCAUGAGAUGAUUUUUAUAGGUAACAUGGGCCCGGGUACUGCCUUUGUGCACAGGCCGGUGAGUGGCUCAAUGAGCAAACGUUACAUAAUAGCCAUGGGGUCCGGGUCCUUACUUGAUAAAAAGGCUCGUGAGUAGCUCAAAUGUGAGAACAUCAUAGUAUGAGGUAGCCCUAACUAUCUAUAUGGCAUUUAUAUGAAAAUUUCCUACGUAUUCGUAUGUAUUUCGAGCAUUCAACGACUAAUGCAAAGAAUUAGUUGGUGAAAUUUUGAUGAGGUACAUAGGCUAAACUCAUGGAUAAAGCCUGAUUCUAUGAUGAGAUGUCUUUAAGCAUAUAUGAAUGAAAGGAAGAAUAAGAUCAAGAAGUCUAAGUGACUCAAAUCUUUAAUACAUGUCAAUUUAUCAUUUGAUAAAUAUGUUUUCUUUUAAUUACACUUUAUUUGCAUUUAUGUACUUACUAAGCUUACAUGUUUACCUUCCUUUCUUUUCUUUCCUUAUAGCGCCGCCAAGCUAGCAUCGGGGAUCUAGUAAUGUCAAAAGCUUCGAUCACACUAUCACUCAAUACCUUAGUAUAGUUAGUUUAAUUUUUUUGUUUACUAGCAUAUAAAAGGUCUCGAGUCUUUUGUUUAGCAAUUUGUUAAGUAGCCAAAAUAUGUUGGCUCAUAUGUGAUUAUGAUACUCAUUUUGUAUAGGACAUGAAUGUUGGCUAAUGCUAAUUAUUAUUCAAUGUGAUGAUGCAAAUUUCUAAUGGUUAUGGUUGUUUUGGUUAUGCAUAUUAUGUUGGUAUUGAACUUGGUUGAUCUUAUAUAAAUAGAUGUUUGUAAGGGUGGCAAAGAGGCUUGGUAAAUAGCCUCAUUUUGUCUACACGGGUAGACACACGGGCGUGUGUCUAGGCCGUGUGUGACACGCGAUCAGCCCCAUGGGCGUGUUGUUCAGCCAUGUGGCCCCUACAGGUAAAACUUUCAAGUCAGUAUGCAUGGUAGUAAACACACGGGUAGAGACACGGUCGUGUGUCUCAGUCGUGUGAAGGACACAACCUAGCACAAAGGUGUGUGCCUUGGCCGUGUGGCCCUUAUGGAUUGUUGACGUCAGAAAUAGAAUGUCCAAGUUUUUACACAUGGGCUAGCACACGGGCGUGUCCUAGCUGUGUAAAAGACACGGGCCAGGGACACGGGUGUGUGCCAGGCCGUGUGAAAACCCUGUAGGUGUACAUUUAAAAUUAAUUCCACACGGGUUCAAGAUAGGGGCGUGUGCCCCUGUGUUAUGUGUUAUUUUUAGGGUCCGUUUAAGACCCCAGAUUAAUUCUUAAUGGGUUUCAAUGAUUGUUUUAAACCCCGUAAGCUCUUAUUAAGGAGUUUAUAUUUGAAAUUGAAAAAGUUUUAAUUUGACCACGUUUUGGUGUUAAGAAGACGUGUUUAUGCAUAAGUGUUGGUUAGGUAAUGCCUCAUAUUCUGAAUUGACGUGGGCACGGGUGUGGGGCAUUACAUUUAGUGGUAUCAGAGCUACGGUUUAGUUAGUUCUCAAACUAACGUAGCAUGUACAUGAGUCUAGAUAUACAUGCCAUAAAUAAAUUGUGAUAGUGUGAUGGCUCCUGACCUUUUUAAAUGUGUUUUCUUAUAGUAAUGGAUCCCGAUUGAACUAUGGCAGAUGACGUAAAAAGUAACGCACCGGCUCUCCCUUAAGGGGCGGCACCAUCUGAUAAUCGACCUCCCAUAGUUAGUCAAGAAGGAGGAGAAGGGGCUCGGGAGGCCUUUCUCUACAUGAUGAAUGAGUGGUACACGGAGUUUGUUCAAGCGAACCUGAAUGCUCAACCCCCUCCACCCCCACCUAUCCCUUUACCUGUCCCCGUAGUACCCCAGGGUAUGGACUUUGAGAGAUGGAAUAGACCUCCAGUGGAUAAGAUUCGAAAGCAUGGAGCCGAGGAGUUCUGUGCUAAUAGAGAUAGUGACUCUGAAAAGGCAGAAUUCUGGCUAGAGAAUACCAUCAAGGUAUUCGAUGAAUUAUCUUGCACUUCUGAAGAAUGUUUGAAGUGCGCCAUAUCAUUGUUGAGGGACUCGGCAUAUUACUGGUGGAAGACGUUAGUCUCCGUGGUACCUCACAAAAGGGUCACAUGGGAGUUCUUUCAAGAGGAAUUUCGAAAGAAAUACAUCAAUGAGAGGUUUAUGGACCAAAAGUGUAAAGAAUUUCUCGAUUUGAAGUAAGGCCGCAUGACGGUUACUAAAUAUGAAAUAGAGUUCGUUCAAAUUAGUAAGUACGCCCAGGAGUGUGUAUCCUCCGAGGUUAAGAUGUUAGAAGGUUCGAAGACGGACUUAAUAUGGACACUAGAUUGUCAGUCGCUGUCCUUGAGUUGAAAGAGUUCGUGAUACUUGUUGAUCGGGCCUGUAAAGCAGAGGAAUUAAUGAAGGAAAAGAAGAAAACUGAAGCUAAAACUAGAGAUGCAAGGAAGAGGCGUGCGAGCAAGUCAUUUCCAUCUCAGUCUGAGAAAUCUAAAGACGUCUACUCUCGUUCCCAUGUAUCUGCGGGACAUUCACACUGAGACCAUAAGAAGUAAGAUUCAGAUUUUAAGUCUCGGGCGACAUCAGUGGCGAGUGUAGGCAAUGUCAAAUCUUCCAAACCAGAAUGCCAACAUUGUGGUCGAAAUCAUUUCGGCAAGUGUAGGAUGAACGAUGGAUCCUGUUUUCAAUGUGGUUCUCAAGAUCACUUUAUUAAAGAUUGCCUCGAGAUGAUUAACAAAGAGAAAUUUCAAAGUACAAGGCCAAGCGGCACAAAUUCUAAAAGAAGGCCUCAGAAGAAUGUUGGAGCUAGGGCUGGCAGUAAGAAUGUGACGAGAGACGCCACCAUAAGGUCUGAAGCUAGGGCUCCGGCUAGAACCUAUGCCAUACGUGUACGUGAAGAUGCAUAUUCUCAUGAUGUGAUCAUCGGUACAUUUUCUCUUUAUGAUAAUACUGUUAUUGCUUUGAUUGAUCCUGGCUCUACUCAUUCAUAUGUGUGCAUGAAGUUGGUGUUUAACAUGAAUAUACCUGUUGAGUCUACGGAGUUUAUGAUUAAAGUGUCGAACCUAUUAGGAAAACAUGUGAUAGUCGAUAAGGUAUGUAAGAAAUGUCCUUUGGUAGUUAAGGGCCAUUGCUUUUCGACCGAUUUGAUGUUGUUACCAUUUGAUGAGUUUGAUGCCAUUUUGGGUAUGGAUUGGUUGACACUCCAUGAUGUUUUAGUAAAUUGUAGACAAAAGGCUAUUAAAUUGAAAUGGGAAAAUGGUGAAACCCUUUGGAUUGAAUCAGGAAACUUGCUCAUUGUAAUAUCUGCAAUGUCUGCCCAGAAAUGUUUGAGGAAAAGAUGUGAAGCUUAUUUGGCUUUUUUAAUUAAUACAAAGGAAUCGAAAUUGAAGGUUGAGUCAGUGUCGGUUGUAAGUAAGUAUGUGGAUGUAUUCCCAGAAGAAUUGUCUGGGUUACCCUCUCAUAGAGAGGAAGAAUUUGGCAUAGAGCUAAUACCAAGGACUACGCCUAUCUCCGACUGAGCUGAAAGAACUAAAGUCACAGUUGCAAGAAUUAACCGACAAGGAUUUUGUGAGACCAAGCUUUUCAUCGUGGGGUGCUCCGGUGUUAUUUGUAAAAAAGAAAGAUGGAUCAAUGAGGUUGUGUAUAGAUUACCGGUAGUUAAAUAAGAGAAUGAUCAAGAACAAAUACCUGUUGCUGUGAAUUGAUGACUUGUUUGACCAAUUGAAGGGAGCAACAUGGUUUUCUAAAAUAGACUUGAGAUCAGGCUACUACCAACUAUGAGUUAAAGAGGCAGAUGUUCCCAAAACAGCUUUUAGGACGUGGUAUGGCCACUAUAAGUUUCUCUUCGUGCCUUUUGGUUUAACAAAUGCCCUUACCGUGUUUAUGAAUUUAAUGAAUAGAGUAUUUCGGCCAUAUCUAGAUAAGUUUGUAGUUGUAUUCAUAGAUGAUAUCCUGAUCUACUUUAGAGACAAGGUAGAACAUGUCGAACACUUGAGAACCAUUUUGCAGAGUCUAAAGGAUAAUCAGUUGAAUGCCAAAUUUAACAAAAGUGAGUUUUGGCUUAAAGAAGUCGGCUUUUCUGGCCACAUUGUUUCGAGUGAUGGUAUUAGGGUUGAUCCCAGCAAGGUUUCUACUAUUUUUGAACGGAAACCUCCAAGUAAUGUGACUGAAGCUAGAAGCUUUCUAGGGUUGGCCGGUUAUUACAGGCAUUUUGUAAAGGAUUUCUCUAUGAUUGCGACUCCCAUGACAAGGUUGCUGCAAAAAAAAUGUUGUUGACUAAGGCUCUCAUACUAGUACAACCCGAAUCAGGCAAAGAAUUUGUGAUUUAUAGCGAUGCUUCUCUAAAGGGGUUGGGAUGUGUACUUAUGCAAGAGGGAAAAGUUGUGACCUAUGCCUCGAGACAAUUGAAACCUCACGAGAAGAACUAUCUACUACACGAUUUAGAGUUUGUUGCCAUAGUAUUUGCUUUGAAGAUCUGGCGACAUUAUUUGUUCGGGGAAAGAUGUCAUGUAUACACUAAUCAUAAAAGCCUUAAGUACUUGAUGACCCAAAAGGAUUUAAAUCUGAGUCAACGAAGAUGGUUGGAACUAUUAAAAGAUUAUGAGUUGAUUAUAGAUUACCAUCCGAGAAAAGUGAACGUGGUCGCUGAUGCAUUAAGUAGAAAAUCAUUGUUUGCUUUGAGAGUAAUGAAUGCCCGAUUGACCUUGUCAAUGGAUGGUUCAGUUUUAGCAGAGUUAAAAGCUAGAUCGACGUUUCUUCAAGACAUUUUUGAGGCUUAGAAAAGUAAUAGCGAAUUUUUAUCCAAGAGAACCUAGUGCGAGACGAAUGUUGAAUCAGAUUUUCGGGUCGGUUUUGACGGUUGUUUGAGAUUUUGGGAAAGGAUUUGUGUUCCUAAGGACACCGAAUUGAUUUGGAAGAUUUUAGAUGAGGCACACAGUGGUUGUUUAUUAGUACACCCUGGGAGUACGAAAAUGUACAACUUAAAGAAAAUGUAUUCGUGGCCAGGGAUGAAAAGAUAUAUUUUGAAGUUCGUAUCCAAAUGCUUAGCAUGUCAACAAGUAAAGGCUGAGCAUCAAGUACCUUCGGCCUAUUACGUCCCUGAACAAAAGUGGGAUCGAAUUACUAUGGUUUUCAUGAUGGGUUUGUUAGUAACCCCAAAGAAAAAGGAUGUUGUUUGGGUUAUUGUGGAUGGGCUAACAAAGUCGACACCUUUUAUACCAGUGCGUACUGACUACUCCCUUGAGAGAUUGGCUAACUUGUACAUUUCUGAGAUUGUGAGACUACAUGGGGUACUUUUAUCGAUUAUUUCAGAUAGGGACCUGAGAUUUACCAGGAGGUUUUGGAAAAUUUUACUAGAGGCAUUGGGAACAAAGUUGAAUUUUAGUACGGCUUUCUACCCGCGGACUGAUGGCCAAUUAGAGAGGGUAAUUCAGACCUUGGAAGACAUGCUUCGAUGUUGUGUAGUGGAAUUUCAGGGUAGUUGGGAAAAUUAUUUGUCACUGGUGGAGUUUGCUUAUAAUAACUCGAGUUUAAAGAUGGCACCUUAUGAAGCGUUGUAUGGGCGUAAGUGUCGAACGCCUUUGUAUUGGACCGAGCUUAAAGAGAGUCAGAUUCACGGGGUCGAUUUAGUCAAGGAAACUGAAGAAAAAGUUAAGGUGUUUCGUUAUUGUUUAAAGGCCGCUUCAGAUAGGUAGAAAUCCUAUGCGGAUUUGAAAUGAAAAGAGAUUGAGUUUCAAAUCGGUGAUAAGGUAUUUCUAAAAGUAUCUCUGUGGAAAAAGGUUCUUAGAUUUGGUAAAAAGGGAAAAUUGAGUCCGCAUUUUAUCGGACCAUAUGAAAUGAUUGAUAGAAUGGGUAGGUAGCCUAUCGGUUAGCCUUACCAUCGGAAUUGGAAAAUAUCCAUGACAUAUUCCAUGUGUCCAUGCUACAUCGAUAUCAUUGGGACCCUUCACAUGUGAUUUCUCUGACUGAAGUGGAGAUUAGAUCAGAUAUGUCUUAUAGUCAGGAUCUUGUUAAGAUCCUAGCUCGAGAAAUUAAGCAACUGAGAAAUAAGAGUGUUCCCCUUGUGAAAGUGUUAUGGCAAAGACAUGGGGUUGAAGAGGCCACAUAGGAACACGAAGAAAAGCCAAUACCCAAACCUUUUUACCCGUAAGAUUUUCGAGGACGAAAAUCCCUAAAUGGGGAGAAUUGUAAUAGCCCGACUUUGGGGCUAGUCAAAAUAGUGGUUUCGAAACCACUAACACGAGGUCAGGGAAAUUAUUUUAUAUAUAUUAUUUUAUGUAUUGUAGCAUGAUUAGAUAAGUACAUGAAAAUUUUGGUGAAUAAAUUUUAGUGAUUGCUUGCUUAAUUGCGAAAAAGGACUAAAUCGCAUAAAGUACAAAAGUCUUAAAUUGUUAGCUAAAGGUGUUAAAUUGCUAUGAACCUUAAUUUGAGGGUUUUUAAAGGGAAAUUAGACCCUUUCCUAAGAGCUUGGCCUGCCAUAGGGAACAAUUUGGUCAACAAGUCAAAAGUUUAGGUGGUUUGGUAACUUAAUUGAAUAAAAUAAGACAAGAUGACUUCAUCCUUUCAUUCUCUUCUCCUACCACUAAAAUUUUCAGCCAUUAGAGGGGUUUUUGAGCUUCAAAAUUUCAACAACUCUAAGCCUUUGCAAGUAAGUGAUUCUCAUGAGUUCUCUUAAUGAUUUUUACAUUUUUGGACUCCUUGAAGCAUGAGCUUUCAAAUGAGGGGACUAUUUUGCAAGAUUGGCAAGAGUCUAGGGUUUUACCAUGAAAGCAUGUGUGUUGAUAACUGAAAUUUUAUGGAAGAAUAUGAGUCUUAGAUGGGUAAUAAACAACUUUUGUGAAGGGAUUUCUCAUGAAAACCCUAUUAGGGACUAUUUUGUAUAAGUUGUAAAAUAGACGAUAAAUGUGUGAAAUAGUAUAAAUUUUGGAUUUCUAUAAGAGUAAAAAGGGUUCGGCUAGGCUUAUUAUAUGAGGAAUUCUGAUAAAAAUUGAUUUUCGAGCAUGGGGGUAAAAUGGUCAUUUUGUGAAAGUAUAAGGGCAAAAUAGUCAUUUUGCCCAAUUAUGAUAUUUGAGUGUAUAAAUCAAUGUGCUGAUGAAAUAGAAGAAUUUUAUUAAUUUAGAUCAAGAGAAACGUGAUUUGGGUAUUGGUCGGGGUAAGAAUAAAUUUUACGAGGAUUAAGCUCGUCUUCAUCAUUUUGUAUCGAGGUAAGUACAUAUGUAAAUAAUGUGUUAACCAAACUUAUUUAAAAAUACCUUGAUAAUGUACAUGUGCAAUUAGCUUAUUGUGUUUAUGUAUCUAAAGUUUAAAUUGUUUCCAUGAAUGUGUAAAUGACCUGUUCUUCGAGUAUAACACGUUGCGAGCAAAUGCGAUGCUAUUCGGUUUACAUUGAAAACCCGUUGAACCCUAGAUAUAGCAUAGGAUACAAAGGGGCAUGUCAUGAAAAUUAUGUGGUCUGAACUCAUGAGUUGAGUCUAAGUUCAUGGACUGAUUUUUAUAGGUAACGUGGGUCUAGGUACUGCCUUUGUGCACAGGCCCGUGAGUGGCUCAAUGAGUGAACGUUACAUAAUAGCCAUGGGGUCCAGGUCUUUACUUGAUAAAAAGGUUCGUGAGUAGCUCAAAUGUAAGCACAUCAUAGUAUGAGGUAGCCCUCACUAUCUGUAUGGCAUUUAUAUGAAAAUUCCCUACAUAUUCGUAUGUAUUUCGAGCAUUCAACGGGUAAUGCAAAGAUUUAGUUGGUGAAAUUUUGAUGAGGUACAUAGACUGAACUUAUUGAUAAAUCCUGAGUCUAUGAUGAGAUGUCUUUAAGCAUAUAUGAAUAAAAGGAAGAAUAAGAUCGAGAAGUCUAAGUGACUCAAAUCUUUAAUGCAUGUCAAUUUAUCGUUUGAUAAAUAUGUUUUCUUUAAUUACACUUUAUUUGCAUAUAUGUAUUUACUAAGCUUACAUGCUUACCUUCCUUUCUUUUCUUUCCUUAUAGUGCCGCCAAGCUAGCAUCGAAGAUCCAGUAACGUCAAAAGCUUUGGUCACACUAUCACUCAAGACCUUGGAAUAGUUAGUUUAAUUGUUUUGUUUACUGGCAUGUACAUGGACUCGAUUCUUUUGUUAAGCGCUUUGUUAAGUAGCCAAAAUGUGUUGGCCCAUAUGUGAUUAUGAUACUCAUUUUGUAUAAGGCAUGAAUGUUGGCUAAUGCUAAUUAUUAUUCAAUGUGAUGAUGCAAAUUUCUAAUGGUUAUGGUUGUUUUGGUUAUGCAUAUUAUGUUGGUAUUGAACUUGGUUGAUCUUAUCUAAAUAGAUGUUUGUAAGGGUGGCAAAGAGGCUUGGUAAAUAGCCUCAUUUUGUCCACACGGUCAGCCCCAUGGGCAUGUUGUGCAGCUGUGUGUCCCCUGCACGUAAAAAUUUCAAGUCAGUAUGCAUGGUAGUAAACACAUGGACAGAGACACGGCCAUGUGUCUCAGCCGUGUGAAGGACACGGCCUAGCACACGGGUGUGUGCCUUGGCCGUGUGGCCUUUAUGGAUUGUUGACGUCAGAAAUAGAAUGUCCACGUUUUUACAUAUGGGCUAGCACAUGGGAGUGUCUUAGCCGUGUGAAGGACACGGGCCAGAGACACGAGCAUGUGCCAAGCCGUGUGAAAACCCCUGUGGGUGUGCAUUUAAAAUUAAUUCCACACGGAUUCAGGACACAGACGUGUUUCCCCUUCCACACGGGCGUGUGCCCCUAUGUUAGGUGUUAUUUUCGGGGUUCGUUUAAGGCCCCAGAUUAAUUCCUAAUGGGUUUCAAUGAAUGUUUUAAACCCCGUAAGCUCUUAUUGAGGAGUUUAUAUCUGAAAUUGAAAAAGUUUUAAUUUGACCACAUUUUGGUGUUAAGAAGACGUUUUUAUGCAUAAGUUUUGGUUAGGUAAUGCCUCAUAUUCCGAACUGGCGUGGGCACGAGUGUGGUGUGUUACAGAAUGUGUGCCAAACCCUAAUUGCUUCGAAAACUCUAUUUUAUUUUUGUUAUUCAGUUUCCAAAGAUGAAUGAACACAAAUUUUUAGUGUUGUUUUAUUAUAAUUAUAACUUAAUAAUCAAUUUACUAAUAUAACCUUAUUAUAAACCUUUUAAAAACAUGAUAUUAAUGUUCAUAUAUGUCAAAUUUCACUAUCAAAGGUCUAAUUACAACAUAAGGACCUCUCAUUUAAUAAGCCCUAGCAAUUAAGCACUUUUAACUUAUAGAAUGCAUCUUUUACAUUUUACGUGAUUUAGUCCUUUAGUCAAAUUAAUCACUUAAACGAUAAAAUUAUCACACGAAAAUUUCACACAUAUGUAUUCACAUACUCUAAGCACCAAAAAUAAGAUUAAAAUAAUUUUACAAACUUAGAUUUGUGGUUCUGAAACCACUGUUCCAAUUUAGCUAAAAUCGGGCUGUUACAUGUUCCAUAUAAGUGUAGCAUAAGCUAUCAGUCUACAACACACCAAUACAUCCCAUUGAAUGGAGUUAAAACUCAACAUUCCUUUUUAUUUCCAACAUAUCUCGAGCCUCAACUCCCAUAUAUAAAACACAUGUGUGAGUACUCAAAUCCUAUGACAUCCCAACUAUAUUUAAUGAUAUCAAGACACCACAAGGCCAACAUAUCCAUUUAAAAACAAUUAUUUACUAUUUUAUGCACAUUCUUGUUUGUCCAUAUUCGCCACACUAUCACAUCAUAUGUAAUGCACUAUAAAGUGCAACACAAUGUUCUUUGAGCCCCAAACACUAUAAACUCAUAUAUGUGCAUAAAACCAGAAAAUCAUGAGUCAUAUACUGACAUAAACACAUCAUUUUUUGCUAUAAACUCAUAAUAAAUCACAUCUCACACCACACAAGCAUUAUUUGCAAGGCUAACCUAAGCUCCCUAUUAAAUCUAUGAAUUGUGCUUACAUGUAGCACUUCAGAUCACUCACCGAUGUAGCAUUCACCCAAUUAUCAGAAGCCUAAAAAAGCUUCUCAUUGCUUUUUGCCUUGCUCGUAGAGAGCUCCGAUGGAUCCAGAACUUCGCAUACACAUUAAACACAAGAUAAACUAAUCAUUAACACAUUAAGAUCCAAAAUCGUAUCUAAACAUAAAAAAAUAUAUAUGGAUCCAUAUUCUCCCCUCUUAAACCAAAAGUUUAACUAGAUUUAUCGAAAUAAUUGAUUUCCUUAAUCAAUUCUUAUUUCUAUUACUUAAAAAUGAGUGUAAACAUCGUAUAUAUCAUAUUAGAAUAGAUUUAAACCAUUUUAAAUGCCUAAAAAUGUAGAUUUCAGUUUUUCAGAAAUAUCGUCACAUGACAGCAUUCAAAAGGGAAAAUCAUCAAUUCUCUAAAAUCCUUUAAUGAUCUGUUAAAUUGAGUUUAAAAACAUUUUAAUCAAAUCAAAAUAAGAUGAAAAUCAUUUAGUAACAAUGAUUUAACUUAAAAAUCCAAAUUUCACCAUUUUCAAUCUCAUUUUUGACUUAAAACUUUAGAUCCAUAGACAUCUCAUUAUAAGUGAUCAAAUCUUGAUUUGUAAAAGCAACAUACAUAAAAAUAUCAUCAAGAAUCAAAAUCUAACCUUGAUUGAAAAAUAAAAACAAGUUGAAGCUUUAAUUGCUUGAAAAACCUUUGGAGAAAAAUAAAGAAUUUGAGGAAGAAUUUGAGUGUUUUCUUUAAAAUUGAGAUCUAAUGUUUAAUAGGUGUGAAAAUCAAAAUGACCUAUUUUUUUGGAGAGAAAAAUGCUUAGAUUGGUGUUUGGAAAAAAUACAAAUGAGAAAAUGAAUAAGGGAAGAAACAUGAAUGGGUUUUAUAGUUGCAUGAAAAAAGAACCGGUUUUUAAAACUUAGAUUAGUUGCUUUUAGGAAACUCUCAAGUUUGACCUUUUUACAAAUUAGUCAUUUUUUAAUUAAAACACCUUUUUCUUAAUUCUUUUUAAAUCCAAUUUUAUUUUUAAAAACCGUCUUAAAGUAAUCAUUUUUUGGAUAAUUAAUUCUAAAUUCCUUAACCUAAUUUUAGACCACUAUUAUUAUUAUUCUCGAAUUUAAUUCAUGGACCCGAAUUGGCUAUCUGAUCCACCAACCUAAAUCUACUAGACAAAAUAUAAGGAUGUGACACAUUGGAUAUAAAGUACUGUCCAAUGAUUUGCCAAUGGUCUUUAGUUAGAAUUCGACUAUAAUCACUAUCAUCACCAAACUUAACUAUGAAAUAAUUACUAUCCAUAUCUGCUAGUUGAAAAUUCUCAAUUAAAUUUCAUAGAGAAUGAAGUCUCCUUAAUAAAGUUUUGAAACAAAUAGAUCUCCCCAAAAGACAACAAUAACAAUCUUUUUCAUGCUUUUAUGAAUUAACUCAUGAACUCUAUAUGAGAAAUGAAGCUUCAAAUAUUGCCCAUCUAUUUUGACACUAAAAUCAUCAUUCCCCAAUUUGAUAUCGACAUAAACAUCAUCAGCCACUGAUUCACUAAGCAAAUCUAGAUUCCCAAUAAGAGUAUCACAAAAAGAAGCUAUUAGGGACUCACCCUCCAUACUCAUGUGCUCUUGCCAUUGCUGGCAACAUUUUUAUCCUUAACCUUUUUGUGGCUCUUUUUAGCUCUUUAGAGAUUAGAGAACCUGGCCACUCGAGAGAGAAAAACAAGAAAGAAUCCAUUCAAGUUUUUUCAAAACUAUAAAACAUAAGUCGACACUUUUUAAUGUUCAAGUUAAUCGCCAUUUAAAAUGUUAUCUCUUUUACUUUAAAAUUAAUUUGGUCUAAAUUGUUAAAUUUUAUAAUAAAAAGACUAAUAAAAUGAGGACCACCAAGUAAUUUAACGUUUACUAUAUCUAUUUCAAAAUAACUGCUAAUUGUGGGUCCCACGAUAACUGAUGGAUAAAAAAACCCAUUCAAAUAUGUUAUCACUUAAAAAUGAACACGUGAAUUAAUUAGGUUAAGUUCCAGAUUUAAACUAAGAUGAUAAAAUUUAGAUUAGAUUGAAUCGAUAAGUUUAAUAGGCUAAACUGUUAACCAAUCAAUCUAAUGGAUUAAUCAUAUAAUUUGAAUAGAAAAAAAACAACUACAGCAUUAGAUGGUUUAAUCAUAUAAAAUUUAGAUUAGAUGAUGACUUAAAUUGUUUCAGCUAGGAUAAACGCAAUGCUAUGAUUAAAUUCAAUCAAUUCAUGUUUCUAUUGUUUUGUUCCUUAGUUGUUCAUGCUUCCAAUUUGCAAACAUGUUUAAAUACUAAGAAAAAAUUGAAGAUAAUGAAAGAAGAAACUCUUAUUGAAUUGGUGGUUCCCCGGAGAAUGUUCGUGGUGGCUUCCUCCAAUUUUCGUGGUUGCUCCUUUGCAAAUUGCUCCUCAAGGUGGCUGGCCAAGAGAGCUUUUCUCAAGGAAAUGCUAGCUAAAGAAAAUGGGAAGAUGGAGAGAGCUCUAGGCGUGGAAGAGAGGAGCAAUUUAUACUUGAAGGAGAGCUUGGGAGUUUGCUAAAAAUAGCAUGCACAACCCUUGAGAAUCUCCCAUGCAUGGUCGACCAUGCUUUGUGGGAUGAGGGGUUUGUUGGUUGCUUGAUUUGUAACCGAUUGUAACACCCUUAACCCAAAUCCGUCGCUGGAAAAGUGUUAGGGACCAUUACCAAAGUUUACAGAACAAAUAACAGACAUUUCAACUUAUUUAGUAUUCAUAUCUAAUUUCAAGUCAAAACCAAGUCUCAUGCAUGACAUAACAUCACAUACAAACAAUGUGUUCUUAAGCACCUCAAAUAAUACUUUACCAACGUGUAACCAAACACACCAAAGCUUACUAUAAAGUUCACUUAUAUGCAUAUCUUACCAAAUAUGCUAGAAUUAAUCAUCAACAUGCCAACAUGAUUUUCUAUCAUUCAAUCUUUUAAGCACACAUCAAACAUGUUAUAACCUCAUUUAUACAUAUCAAAACAUAUUCAUCACAAACCAUUCCAAUGGCUAGUUAUAACUUAAAUAUUUACAUGCCAACAUUGGCUAAUUAACAUAUACAUGCCAUUAUAACCAUAAUUAAUUUACCAUAUAUAUAUACCAAAAUGGGCCGAUAGAUAGUGUGAGUGAUUUUCGCCGAUGCUUUCAAUCCAACGAGCUUCCAAAUUACUUUAAGGCACGGGAAAAUAAAACAGAGUAAGCAUGAAAUGUUUAGUAAGUUCGUAUAACAUGGUAAAUAACUUACCAUAUAUUUAUGUUCAGAAAUAAACUUACAAGGCAGUAUCAAUCAAUUUUAUCAUAAACCCUAAACACAUAUCCUCAUCAUGUUAGCCAAGUAAUCACAUAUGAUAGUCCUUAAUCAUGGAUGAACGAAGUCAUCAAGCAUGAUCCACAUUCAUGUAAUAUCCAAUUCAUGCAUCAUUAUAUCAAGUAAUGUCAUUUCCAUGUACUUCAUGUACAUACAAGUAAUAAUUUGUUUCAAAGUCAUACUAUCUCAUAUAAACAUCAAGAAACAUCUAUGGGCUCAAUAAUAACCAAAUUCCAUAUACAUAUAUUUUCUACAUCAUGAAUUCAAAUAACAUAUACAAUUCAUAUUCCUGUAUUUCAAGUACAUUUUCAUAAUAAUUUAUCUCGAGAUUAGAUUAUUUCAUGUCAAAACUUUACCCAUUAAAUCAUUUGAAAUAUCAAUGUCACAUGGGAAAUACACUCAAGGUGUACUAAUCUAUAUUCAUCGAUGAACAUAUUUAUUAAACAAAUUCCAUGUUCAUAUAUCAUCAAUUUGUAUUUCCAUAAAUCAUGUAUCAUCAUUUCAUGUAUUUCAGGCAGACACUUGUAAUAAUUCAUUUCGUGUUCAUAUUUUCUCAUGUUAGGAUUUUGCCCGUUGAAUUUAUUUGAAAUAUCGAUAGAUACUCAAAUAGUACACUCGAAGUGUACAAAUUAAAAAUUCGUCAAUUCAUAAUCAAGGGUACUCAUUAGAGUACAUAAUUAGGAAGUACUCUCUCGAGCCAUAUAUCAAGAAUGCUCAUAUGAGCCAUGUAACAGGAAGCUUAUCCGGGCUAAAUCAAGAAACUCAUAAGAGUUUAAAAUAGGAAGUUCACAAAAAACUUUUAAUCAGGAAGCUCACAAAGAGCCUAUCAGGAAUGCUCACAAAGAGCCAUGUAACUGGAGCUCUGGAUAGCUAUAUAUUAGGGAGUUCAGGCAAGCCAAUAUCAAGACGCUCAUAAAGAGCUGUAUUUGUGUCUGCAACAUAUGCAAGAUCAAACCCGAUCACAUAAUAGCACACUUACAAAGAGCUACGUUUGUGUCUGCAACAUAUGCAGAAUCACAAUCGAUCAAUAAAUAGGAUGCUCACAAAGAGCUGCGGUAGUCGCAACAUAUACAAGAUUACAACCGAUCAAGAUGCUCGCAAAACUAUAUAAUAAGAAACUCGAGAGUGAUAAUAACAAAAUGCUCGCCUGAGUUAUAGUAUGUCUGCAAUAUAUGCAAGAAUACAACCAUUACAGGAAAUCUAGUAAUCCAUCGAAUUUCAUUUAUUCAAACAGGACUUGACAUUUUUCAGGCAUUAUCAUUAUCGGGCUUUUUCGGAUAUGUUUUCAAUUUCAUAUAUAUAAUAGUUAUACAACUCACAUGCACAAAAUUCAAUUCAAGUGUACAAUUAUACAUAAUUUAGUUACACGAACUUACCUCGACAAUUGUUUAUGUACAUAAAAUCUACUAAUGUGACAUUUUUCACUUUUCCUCGUUCUAACUCUGAAUUUGGUCUACCCUAAUCUAUACGAGUAAAUUUAACAUCAGCUUAAUACAAUUCAUACUCAAUUCAGUCUAAUACACAUUUUAGGAAAAAUUAUUAUUUUUCCCCUAAACUUUUAAUUAAGGACGAUUUCGUCCCUAGGCUCGGAAAAUGAAAUUCAUGCGAUUUAAUCCUUAUUCCAAGCAUAGCCAAAUUUUACAAGUAACAUUUCCAGCCCAUGUAUUUCACAAAAUUUAGAAUUUUUCUAUAAAUUUUACAACUUUACUAUUUAGUGCCUAAUUCAUAUUUUCAUCAAAAUUCACUUUACAAAAGUUGUUUAUCUAUCAACAACCUUUCAAUUUCUACCAUAAAUUUCAACAUUUCAGCAUAUUCAUCCAUGGAAAAAUUUCUAUGUUAAUCCCCAAAAUUGCUAGAUUAGGUUAUCUCGAUCUCAAAAAUAUAAAAAUUACUAAAAACGGGACUUGAAUACUUACCUAAUUUGGCCAAAUAAGUUUUCUCUUUCUUCCAUUCUCCAUGGCUAGGGUUUCAUAUUUAUUUGGGAAAGAUGAUGAUAAAAAUGAUGAUAUUUUCUUUAUUUUAUUAUUUUUCAUCUUUCUAAUUUUGUCUUUUUCUUUAUUUUAUUUUCCAUGGAUGAUUCAUUAUCCUUAACAACUAAGUAUUUUAAUGGUCUAUUUUUCAUAUAAGGACCUCAAAUUUUGAAUUCCAUAGCUAUUUAAUCCUUUUAGCUAUUAGAACUCAACUUUUGCACUUUGUGUAAUUUGGUCCUUUAUCAAAUUAAACAUGUAAUCGGUAAAAUUUCUUUACGAAAUUUUUUUAUGAAAUUAUUAUCAUACUAUAGAUAAUAAAAUAAUAUUAGAAUAAAUUUCCUUUUCGAAAUCGGAUUUGUGGUCCCGAAACCAUUGUUCCUGUUUUACCGAAAAUGGGUUGUUACACCGAUUCUCCCUUAGUUUAAGGCAUGGGGUUGGACGCCAAUGAAGGGACUUAGCUGGGCCUAAUUUUUAAUUUUUUCACACAUGAGGGACCUUCCUCCAAUUGUUCCAAAGUUGAUUUGGGCUGUAAUAGCCCUUUUUUCGGUGGUGUCAGAAAUAGUGGUUUCGGAGCCACAAAUUCGGCGAGUAAGUUUGUAAAUGUUAUUAGUUAAUAUUUAAGAUUCAAAUUUAUUAUUAAAAUAAAAACUUGAAUUGACAAUUUAUGCUAUUUGAAUGAAUAAUUAGGUUCAAGUGGUAUGACCUUGAAGUUAAGUGGUUUUAGCAAAUAAGGUAUCGGGAUCUCAUUUGUAUAAAUCGAGUCAAAUUUUUUAUUAAAUAUUCAAAUAGUGUUGUUAAGGUUGUAUUAAAGUUUGGUUAAGAAUUUUUGACGUUUAAAUGAUUAAUUAAUUUGAAAGGACUAAAUUGUAAAGAUAUGAAAUUUAAUAGCUAUAGAUUUAUUUGUAUUUAAUUGAUAUAAAAGCAUGAAAUAAGGGUCUUAAGCAGUAAUUCAACCAAUUUUAAGGUUAGUGGAUGAUCAUGCCAUGACAUUUGGUGAAAUUUGGUUAAUAUUUAAGGGUAAAAUAAUAAAUAAAUAAUAAAACUUAAAUUAAGUAAAAGUAAACGGUUAUCUUCUUCAUUUCUAAUUGAAGAAACUGAAACUCCAUAGAAAUUAAAGCUCCAAGCUUCGGUCUUGCUAUGGUUAAUGCAUGUAAGUCCAUUUUUUAUUUAUUUCUUAUAAUUUUUAUGUUUUUGAAAUCAUUGCAAUUAGACCCAGCUAACCUGUACCUCUAUUUUUGAAAUUAUUAAAUAUUUUAGAAUGUUCCUUGGAUGAGUUUGAGGUGUUUGUAAAAGUUUAUGAUAGAUUGUUAAGCUUUGUUGCCAAAUAGACAUAUUUUAUUAAGUAAUUUUUGAUGAUUUUCAGGUAUAAGAACUUAUUUAUGAAAAUGGAAAAAUUAAAGGAAAACAUUGAAAAUGGAUGAUAAAUAUGGGCUGUUAUAAAAAUAGGUAAAAAUCAAUUUGCAUGAAUUUUAAUUAGAAAUGAUGAAAUUGCAAGUUUCGAGUUUAGAGACUAAAUUACAAAAAAGGUAAACUUUGAGGGUAAUUGUGUAAAUUUUUAUUAUUACGGGUUAUAAGCUAGACUAAUUAUUUUAAAUGCUGGAAUGGGAUUAAUUGAACAAAAAUGAUUAAUUUGCAUGUUUUGAACUUAGGGACUAAAUUGUAUAAAAUUUGAAUGCUGGGGGUAAUUUUGUAAAAAUGUCAAAAAUGACUUAAUUGCAUAAAAUGAACUUUUUUUGUUGUAAUUAGUGAAAUGAAUGGAAUUAUUAUUUUUUAUCAAGAACGAAUGAAAAAUCGAGGAAGAGAAAAUUACCAAAUAGAUCACGUACUUAGUCAUUGCUGCAAUUUAAUAAGGUAAGAUUGUAUGAACUAUAAUCAUUUAAAUGUUUAAAUUGAAUAUUUAUUAUUUUUUUUGAUGUAAAUGAAUCAACAUAUAAAUGUAUCAAUGCUAUGAUGAAUUGACAGAUAUUGAAUCUCAGUUGAACCUUAAGAAUUCUUAGGAUACAAAUGACAUGUCGUUCGGGAUUUCAUGUUUCAGGUGUUGGUCUUGAAUGUCCUAUCAAUGGCUGAGAUCCUGCAUUUGUUGAAAAUUCUCCACAAAUCAUGUGAUCAGCAUCAUGUAGCUUAAAUUCUGACCCACAGCUCGUGUGAGCAUUAAUGUAAAGGAAAGGUUAUGGUUAUAUGUAAAGGCACACCUCGUGUGAGCUUUCCCGAGUAUCCAAUGUAAUUCUAUAAGUUCACAAUUGAGAUGUAACAUGGUUUUAUAAAAAGAUUGAUGAAUUAAAUGCUGUACUUAUAUAUGGGAAAUCUACUUAUGCUAUGGAUGAACUCAUUUAAAUAUGGACAAGUUCACUAACUUGUAAUUUGAUUAUGUUGUUUAGGUUUAUACUAAACAUUUGGAAUCGGUAAGUAAGCAAAUGGAAUGAAACAUGAUCGUAUGGUAAUGAUGAUGAAUUAAAUGUUAUGUUUAUAUAUAUAUGGUUGAUUUCGUAUGUAUCAAUAAUAAGUAUGCUAACUUGUGAGUUUGGUGGUGUUAUAUAGGCUUUAUUAAUCUUAUGGCAUCGGUAAAGGUUUAUUCUUAUUCUAUAAAGUUCAUUAUUGAAAUGGUAAUGUUAUUGUUAAAGUUUAUACGAGCUUACUAAGCAUUCAUUGCUUACAUAGUUAUUUCUCCUUCGCUAUAAAGAUUAUCGGAAGCUCGAUCGGUUGGAAGUUCGUCGGAGAUCUAUCACACUACCCAGUAGACAAUUUGGUAGUUUUUGAGUAAUUUGGCUAAGGUUUAUAAUGGAAUGUAUAGGUUUCUUUGUGUUGGUAUUAUGGUGUAUGUGUUAAUAGUGUUUUGGCAUGUAUAAGCUUUGGAAAGAUAGGUUAGUUUGGUACAGUUUGAUGCCUUACCAAGUUAUGUGAUUUUGGUUACUUCGAUGUGCUUAUUGAUAUAGUCUUCUUGGCAUGUUGAUGAUAGUUUGAAAAUGGUUACUUGUGACAUGUUUUAGUUUAUAUUUGAACUAGGUUUUUAUGUUUGGAAAUGGCAAAAUUAACAUGUAUAAAGUGGUUUAUAAUGGUGCUUGAUGAAUAUGUAAAUGGUAAUUUGGUAUAUUUGUACCUUGAUGUUUAAGUAUGGUUGACAGACUUAUAAUGCUUGAUUAGGUAAUUCCUUUUGGUCCGUUUUGUUAAUAGAUGUUUAUGGCAUAUUGGUACAAUUUUUUGGUUUGAGAAUGGUCAAUAUGCAGUAUGAUUUAGGUAAAUAAAAUAAAUAGGUUAUCAUGUAUGAAUUGGUACAAUAUUGACAUGUUUUGAUACUUGAUAUCAUGAUAUAUUAUGGUGCCUUUGAAUGACAUAUUGGUUAGCUGAAAUAGGGUCUUGGGAACGGCAUAUAUAUAUAUAUAUGUGUGUGUGUGUAUGUGUGUUUAGGUGAGGUUUUGGUGCUUUGAAAGUGUGCAUUAUAAGUCUAAAUGUUUAUGCAUGACACAGUUUUGAAUUGGCUUGAUUUUAGGUAAAUUUGGGUCCACACGGCUUGAGACACGAGUGUGUGACUCAGCCGUGGUGAAACGGCUGUGUCUCAUCUGAUGAUUGCAAAGGGUUCAAGUCAGUGAGUUACAAGGGCGUGUGACACGACCAUGUAACCCUCCUUAGAGAGUUACACGGGUGAGGACAAGGGUUAGGACAUGGCCGUGUGUUCUUAGUUUGAAGGUUACACAGGCAUGUGUCUCAACGGUGUGAGGUACAUGGCCUGGCCAUACGGCUGUGUGACCCCUGUUUCCAAAAUUUUUGUGACUUUUUCCUAAACUUUUCAUAUUUUUUCAAAUUGGUCCCUAAUUACUUCUAAGUUAUUUUUAGGGCCUUUAGGGCUCAAUUUAGAGAUAGUACGCAUGUGAAUGAAUGGUUGAUGAUAUGUUUAAAUUAUUAAAUGAUAAAAUGUUUAAGUGUUUAUGAUUGUACAUUAAUGCUCCGUAACCUUAACCCGACGACAGAGAUGGGUUAGGGGUGUUACAUUGGCUGCUCUUUCAUGUCUUUUUCGAAUUUGGGCUCCUCUUCCCCCUAUUGGACGAUUUCGCAACCCAAUUAGAGAGUAGAGUAAUUAUUUUUAGAAACCAUCUUCCAAGAUGAGUUAAAGCAAUUUUUAUGAGCCCAAUUUAUUAGCUUGCCAUCUACAUUGUUGGAUAAUUAGCUCACUGGCAUGUGUUUCCUUACUAGCUCCCAACAUUGAGUAAUUUAAUGGUCCAUACUGCAGCAUUUUAAAAAGAAAUUAUCAUGUAGCAUAACUUAGUGAAAUUAUGUAAAAUUACGAACUUUACUAAAAUUAUGACCAAUGUCUCAAUAUGGACUAAAAUUACAAAAUUAGCUAUCCAAUUCUUCGGGAUUUGUAUAAAUUUCAAGUAGAAAGGUGUUAAAUAAACCUAUAUAAUUUAAACUUAUCACAAACACCAUAUUUGUUCUGAAGAAAAACUGGCUUCUGAUAUAGUUCAAUUGUGGGGAAGAAGUUAAAAGUCAUUUCUAGAGAAAGCCGUCUUUCGAUCCAAAUUAAUUAAAGAAAGGAGGUUCAAACCUGUUUUGUAGCAGUCCGUUUUUAGUCAAAUCGGAAUAGUGGUUUCAGAACCACAAAUCUGAUGUUGUAAAAUUAUUUUAAUAUUAUUUUAAGUGUUUACAGCAUGAUAAUAUGUUGGUGUGAAAAUUUCAUUAAGAAAUUUUUUUGUUUGAAUGGUCAAUUUGAUAAAAAAGACUAAAUCGCGUAAAGUGUAAAACUUGAGUUCUAUGAGUUAAAGGUAUCUAUUAUCCAUAGAACAUUAAAGUAAAGGUUCUUAUGUGGUUAUUAACCCAUUUAUAAUAUAAUGGAUGUUAGUGGAAUGGCAUUUGGUGUAACACCCUACACCCAAGUCCUACGCCAGGACGGGAUGCGAGGCAUUACAACACUUAAACACAUGCAUUCCAAUGUUCUCGAAUCAUCAAGGCGUGACCAAAUUUAAAGAUUUUUCAAACCUUGUCUGUAACGCCCCAAUUUUCGGGACUUCUGUUAAUUUUGGUGAAUUUUGGAAUUUUUGUGUUUUGACUGUUUGGCGUAGGUUUAAUUAUGUUAGUGGGCUCUAAAAGGCCCAAGCUUAAGCUAAAACCCGGUAAUUUUAGGUGAUUUUAAUCCAUAAGAGGAAAAAGGGGUUCUGGUUAACAGGGGUCUUAAAUAUUAUUUGGGUAAAAUAAGACAUAAGGAAAUAAGUGGCAAAGUGGCAUGUGACGCCACUGGCAAGGCUAUAAAAGUGGCGUGUGGAUGCUAGGGAGAGCUGAGGUUCAAGUCACAAUGACAACAUAUUAAGGGAAUUAUUGUUUUUAUGUUCAGAAAAGGUAAGCAGUGGAACUGAAGUGAAAGUCUGUCAGGAGAGGAUUUAGGAGUUGAUAAGGGAUAGGAAUUAGGAGUUGAUAAGGGAUAGGAUUUAGGAGCAGAUAAGGGAGGAAAUCUAGGAGCUGAUCAAGGAACAAGAGGUGGCCGGCCAAGGGACUUUAGCAUGGGAAUUUCGGCUAGGGUUAGUGCCAGUAUAAAUUCGGCAUUAGUGGUAAGUGGUGCCGUUUCCUGACCAUUCUCCUCUUCUUUUCUUUUUCUCUUCUCUCCAUCCACUUAUUCUUUUCUUCUUCUUUUCCCCAUAGCCGAAUCCUUCAGCCACCCUACUCUAUACCACCUUCCUUCCAUUAUUUUUGAGACUAUAGCUGAUUGCCUCAAAUCCCGAAAUCCUGAAAACUUGACUCCUUUUGUACCGAUUUUUCCCUAGCCAAAUCUCUUAUUUUUCUCAUCAUCUUUGGCCGAUUCUCUCAACCUCUAAAUCCCAGGUUUCUGUCGACAAUACCACAAGUAAAAACCCUCAUAUUUUAUCUUUCUCUACACUUUUGCAAAAAGCCGAAACUUCCACACUAUCCUAGGGACAUAGCCGAAUACUGAGAUCACUGAGGGCUAGACUUUUGUUAUCGUUUGAGGGCUUAGAACUGCAUCAGAAUCAAGUAGGAACUAAGGGGGAACGUUGACUGGAAGAAUCGGUGGUAAGUCUUUCCAACUUAGUCUAUCUUUCAUAUUUUAAGAAAAGCCGGAAUCCCUAAAAGGUUAGGGAGGUUGUCGUUUUUGGACUUGUAGCCCUAAGGGGUUGUGAUAAUAGUAUUAUUUUGGUAAUAGUGUGAUUAAGAGGCUGUUGAUCAAGGGCUUGGACAAGUGGAGCGAACGGAUCUGGAUCGAGACGCUAUUUUCGGCAAAGGUAGGAACACUAAGGCCUAAGGUGUUGUUGGCCGAAUAUGGUAAGAAGUUAAUAUGUAGUUCGUUUCGGUAGUAAGAUUAACGUGGUAGUAUUAUAAUUGUAGGCAGUUCGUGCGUGGUCCUCGUCAGCAAAUCGUCAUAAAACAGGUGUGUAACUGACACCCUCUCAUAGACUAGAUCGGCAAAAGCCGAAAUGCUGGAAAGUUGGUAUUUUGGAAAAUUGCGAGUGUGCGAAUGCUCGUAAGAUAGUUGGGUUUGCAUGUUUGGUAUUCUGAAGGUAAUAACUUCAGUACGUGCAAUUUCGUACAUUUUGAUAAUGUGGGCUUAAUGGGCCAAAAAUCGGGUUCAUGGGCCAACGGGCUCAAUUUGGUAAGUAUGCGCGGUAAGUAUUCUGAUAGUACGUAAAUGGAUAGGAUGUGCAUGAAAACCCUAAAAGUAGCUAAAUUACUACAAUACCCUUAUGUAUGGAAAAUUACCAUGAUACCCCUAGGUGUAAAUGAGCAAUAUGCCCCUAGGGUUAAUUUUAUCUGAAAAGCAUGUUGAUUUAAAUCUGUAUGAUGUAUGCCAUGAAUGAAUAUUUGUUGCAUGGGGACAUGGGUUAUAUUAUGGAGGAAGCGUCCUGGUGGCUAUGCCACAAAUUAUCUGAUCUGGUGGCUCUGCCACAUAUAUCUGUUCUGGUGGUUCUGCCACGAUUAUCUGUAUCUGUGACUCUGUCACAUUAUCUGUUCUGGCAGCCAUGCUGCAUAAUUCUAUGGCGUGUAGCGGUUGGGUGGGUCGAGUAGUCUCCCCACAUGGUGAAAGGUUGGUAAAGGGGUGUAUGUGGUUGGUUAUGGGUUGGGUUCUACAUAUACAUGAAAUAUCUGAUCUGAUCUGUUAUGGGCCUAUGGGCUUAAUUCUGUAUAUUGUUCUGGGCUAAGGCCAAUCUAUUCUGUUUUUGUGGUUUGAGCUGAUACGGGCUAUGGUUGGGUUAAUUUUACACACUGAGUUUCCGCAAACUCAUCGCCUAUCUUCAUCCAUGCAGGUAAUCCCCAACCAUAAUGGGCUUGGAGCUGCGAGGGAUUCGGAGUGGCCACUCGUUCUGCAAUAAGGAUUUCUUCUGGUGAUUUGGAAUUCAAUUUUCUUUACUUUGAUGAUUUGGGUUUUGUUAUGUAAUAAGGCAACUUAUGAUUAUUUUUUUUGGGGUUUUGAUUUAUAACGUAUCAUGAUGAUCUUAAAUUAUAUUAACUAUCAAAAUGGGCUAGAUCUAGCGUUCGUUUUCAAAAACCAUAAAUUGAUUUCAAAGUAACACGAUCUCGAACAAGGCUUCUACUGUGAUAACGUUUUCCCAAAAUUAAAUAUGUUUUAUUUUAAAAUGAACAUAAUUACAAAGGUAACUUAAGGAAAUACACGAUGUUGGAGUGUGGCAAUGGUGGUGUGCAUGUCUAGGAUUGGAUCCGAAAGAGCUUGGUACUUAAGCAGUCCGAUGGACUCACCUCCUCUUUUCCGGUUUCCUACCUGGUGCACAGCUUCCAUUCACUUUAACCCUUAAUGAAUUAAACCUUUGAACAUCAAGUACGAUUUUCUGAACUUAGAAUAGAAAAAUGUUUUUAACGUUUUUGAUGUGGCACGUCGGAUCCGAUCAUAACGUCUAGGCCGAGUUUGGGGUGUUACAUUUAGUGGUAUCAGAGCCAAGUUGCGACAACUCAGCUGUGGAAUGGGUUUACAAAAAUAAAGAUUUUUAAAAAAUCAGUUUUUAAAAUCUGGACUUCUGAAGGUGGCAUUCCGAAUCUCCGGCCCAUGCAUUCUUACUUGAAAUUUUUACGUGCAGGGGACACACAGUUGGACAACACACCCAUGGGGCUGAUCGUAUGCUACACACGACCUAGACACACACCCGUGUCUCUACCCGUGUAGACAAUAUAGGGAUCUAGCAAGCCCUUUGCUACCCUGAAACACAAUAUAACUACUUGAUUUCUCAAUUCAACAACCACAUCUAAGGCAUAUACACAUUUCAUAUAUAUACCAAAGCAACCAAUGAAUUACUCAUUCAUGAAAGAACCUCUUAUAUUCAUAUAACAACCUUCAACAUUAGUCAUUUUCCAUGGCCUAAUACAAAAUGGUGUCAAUUACUAAAACAAGUCAACACAUUUGGGCCCAAAACAAUGUGACACUAAACAAAAUCAAAGUUCCUAUACAUGCCAUAAUCAAAAUUUAAGAACUAAUUAUACCAAGUGCUUCGAUUUGAUAGUGUGAUCGAUGUCUCUGACGUCUGUUGAUCCACCAGCUAAUUGGGCGGCACUAUGAGAAAAAGGAAAAGAGAUGGAGUAAGCGUAAAGCUUAGUAAGUUGCAUGGAAAUAAAUAACAACUACUUUUCAUAAAGCAAUAUGCUCAUAACCUUUCAUAGUUUAUUUACAAAUACUUUAAAUAGACGUAAGUUCAACUUACUCAUCACCAUCUAAUACAAUUCAUAUUUCAUGCAUUGAGCCCAUAUCUCAUACAUUUCAAUUUGGUACCUGUACCACUCAUCACAUGAUCACAACUUUUCUCAUAUGGAUAUAAAUCAAUAAACCUUUUGUUGAACCAUUUGGAAUACUACUGGAUACUCAAUAGCCUGAACAUGGGCUAAGAUGUGACGCCAUGUCCCAAACAUGGUCUUACACUGGCUCUCAUCUAUCGGUGUCGAUGCCAUGUCCCUAACAGGUCUUACAUUGACACGCAACAAGCUAACACCAUGUCUCAGAUUGGUCUUACACUAGCUUGUCCAUUGUGAGGCUAAUGCAUGUCCCAGACAUGUCUUACACUAGUUCUUGUCUCAACACCGAUGCAUGUCCCAGACAUGUCUUACACUAACAAACAUAUCACCCAAUAUUACGGUACCAAUAUCCAAGUUUAUUCAAAAUGCUCAACGAAAGUCUCUACUAUUUCAAUUUCUCAACAUGUAUUCUCAUAUUCAAGAUCAAAGCAAUUAUUUCAUAUCAAUACAAAUGCACAUCAUAAAGAUAGAGUUGCAUUAUUAACAUACAACUUACCUCGGAUUACAAAAAGUAGGCGGCUAUUCGGUUUUAGUCUACUUGCUUUGUUUUCCCCCGGUCUAGGCCCAGAUUUUGCACUUCUUGAUCUAUAAUGAUGAAAAUUCAAAAAUUUAAUCAUUUUUUUAAUCUAGGUACUCAACAAUUUAAAAUUACAAAAUGACUAUUUUGCCCCUAGACUUUUGCAAAAUGAUCAUUUUACCCCUAGGUCCGAAAAUUGAUUUUUAUCAUAUUUUCUCGCUAACCAAGCCUAGCCGAUUACUUUUUAUACUAGAAGCAGUCCAAAAUUCUCAAUAUUUCACACAUUUAUCACCUAUUUUACAACUUAUGCAAAAUGGUCCUUUUUAGGGUUUUCAUGAGAAAUCUCUUCAUAAAAGUUGUUUAUUACACUACAAUAACUCAUAUUCUUCCAUAAAAUUUCAUAAAACAACAUGAACACACUCAUGGUAAAACCCUAAACUUUCAACCAUUUUGCAAAAUAGUCCCCUCAUUUGAAAGCUCAUGUUACUAGGGUUCUAAAAGUACAAAAAUCAUCAAGAAAAAUCCUCAAGAUCACUUACUUAUAGAGAGAUUAAGUGGUUGAAAAUUCCAACUUCAAAAACUCCUCUAAUGGCUAAUAUUUUCAGUCAAGAAGGAAGGGUGGAGAAAAAAGAUGAUAGCUAGGCUUUAGGGCAUUAUUUUAUUACAUAUUAUGUCAUCAAAUACCUAACAUAUUGACCAUUUAAUUUUCUUUGUCUCAUGACUGGCCAAGCUAUAUUCUAAUGGUAUAUUUUCCUUUAAAGACCCCCAAUUUAUGUUUCAUGGAAAUUUAACACCCUUAGCUAUCAAAUUAAGACUUUUGAACUUUAUGAGAUUUAGUCAUUUUCUCAAUUAAGCUCACAAACGCUAAAAUUACUUCACCAAAUUUUUCAUACACUAAUAUAAACAUGUUAUAACUCUAAAAUAAUAAUAAAAUACUUUCUCUGACCUCAGAUUAGUGGUCUCAAAACCACUGUUCCGACUAGGCCCCAAAGCAGGCUAUUAUAUUUGGAGUAAUUAUUUAGUAUUUUAAAGGUUAAUUAUGUAAAUUGGUUAAUAAAGGUUAAUUAAAUAAAAAAAUGAAUUUAUUCAUGCAUUCAUCUUCUUGAAACUGAUUCUUUAUUGGAAAAUAGAGCUAGGGAUUCAACAACUUUAUUUCCUUCAAUUAGGUAUGUGUUUUGUCUCGAUUUUUAAUGAUUUUUAUGUUUUCGAGAUCGUUGCAGCUUAUUCUAGCUAGUCCAGGGACUAAUUUUCAAAACUGUUAAAGAUUUAUCAUGUUUUCAUUGUUGAAUGCUUGAGUAAUUUGAUGAUUUGUGAUAGAUUUGGAAGGUUUAAUGUUAGAUUAAUAGCUUUUGUAAAGUGAUUUUUGACAAAAAUGUCAAAAAGGGAUUAAAUUGAAAAAAUGUGAAAUGUGGUGGUUAAAAGUGUGAAUAAAUUGAAAAUAUGGGCUGCUAGUAACAUGUAUUAAAUUUGGCUAAGCAUGGGAUUAUAUUAAAUUGCAUGAAUUUGCAAUUUUAUGUGAUAAGGACUAAAUUGUGAAAAUGUGAAACAUUAGGGACAAAUGUGUAAAUUUGUCACAUUGUAAAUUAUAGGCUAAAUUGAAUUGACUGAAUGUUGAAUGUGCUAAAUUUGAUAAUAUAUAGAUCAAGAUAAGCUGAGAUCAGGAUUAGAUCGGGGAAAAGGAAAAGUGGACAAAUAGUCUAUAAUUUCCAUCCGAGCAACUCGAGGUGAGUUCGUAUAAUUAGUAUCAAAUUUUUAAAUACUUUUAAAUUAUUUGAAAUAAAAUUAUAAUUUAGUAAAUGGUAUUACGGAUUUUGAAUGCCUAAUUGAUGAGAAUUAUUGAAUACUGAGUCUCGUUUGAACAGUAGAAAGUCGUAGUAUACGAGUGACACGUCACUAGGGUUACUAUUUUGGUUGAGAUCCUACAUGUGUUGCGGACUCACCACAGCUUGUAUGAGCUUACCGAUAUAUCAGCUUGUAAGAGCUUAUUGUUUUUAGCUCGUCAGAGUUUACUGUUUCAGCUCAAUAGAGCUUACUGUCCAUCAGCUCACGAAGAGCUUACUGAUCAUAGCCCGAAAGAGAAAAAAUGAUAAUGAAUUGACGGAUUACUGAUUUAUAUACAUAAUGUAUAUCAUCCAAGUUCCUCGAUAUUCUAAAAGGUUCAACGGGCAUAAAUUAUGUUAUUUGUUAUGUGAAAAAGCUAUGUGUUUAUAUGGAUGAGUUGCUGUUAUCGAAUGAAUAAUUGUUUAUGUGAUUGAGAGUGAAAUGUUACAAGUGAUAUACAUGAUAUAUGAAUUUGAUAUGGUACAAUGUAUUGAGUAUUAAAUUGAAAUAAUGGAUGAUUAUAUGCACUUAUGUGACAAUGCUUGUGUUUAGGCAUAUGGUAAUUGAAUUGAGUAUACCUUAUUUAUUGUUUUGAUUAUGUAUAAAUGGUAAUUUUAAUUCUGAAUUAUACGGGCUUACUAAGCUAUAAAGCUUACUGCGUUUCUUUUCCGUGUUUUAUAGAGGUUCGAUAGCUCGCUCGAUUUGGAUAAAGCCGGAGAUACGCAUCACACUAUCCAAUUGUCGAUUAGUAUCUUUGAACUUAUGGAUAUAUGUAAAUAUGGCAUGUAUAGGCUAGUUAUAAAGAUGAUAGUUAUGGUUACUUGAGCUAGUGAUUUUGGUACAUGUUGUGGUAUAGGAUAAAAACAUGUGUUUUGGCUUAACUUGGUAUAAAAUGUGUAUGAAAUGUUAUGGAUUAACUGCCUAUUGAGUUAUAAUAUGUUGCAAAUUAUGCUUGUGCAGGUAUGUAAAAAUAGGGUGGCAAAUUGGCUUAGUAAAUAGCCUAUUUUUGUUCAUACGGGCAAAGACACGGGGGUGUAUCUCAGCCGUGUGUGACACACGAUUGUGUUGGACGGCUGUGUGUCCCCUGGUGUGGUUUUAGAAAUCAAGUCAGUAUGCUCCACACGGCCUCACACAUGGGCGUGUGACUUGAUCGUGUGGCAUAAGUCAGUAUACCCUACAAGUUUGGCACGGCUUAGCACACGACCUGUCACACGAACGUGUGUGGCUAUUUUUAGGGCACACGGGCUAGCCACAUGGGCAUGUGUAUUGGCCGUGUGACACAAGUCAGAGAGUUACACAGGGUUAGACACGAGCUGGGACAUGGCCAUGUGCUCCCACUUCGAAUGUCCACACGACCCGUGACACGGGCGUGUCUGGUGGCCGUGUGUCUUACCUGGUCACACGAGCAUGUGUCCCCAGUUUUGAGAAAAUUUUUGCAAGUUCUUGAAAGUUUAAUAAGUUAUCGGUUUAGUCCUAAACCUCUCCUAAAGCAUGUUUUGGGCCUCGUAGGCUCGUAUAAGGGACAAAUUGAUUGAGAUUGAAUGAUAAAUGCUUGACUUGAGAAAAUGUAUGCUAAAUGGAUGUUUAAUUGUUUUGUAAGUUUGGUACUGCUCCGUAACCCUAUUAUGGCAUUGAAUACGAGUGAGGAAUGUUACAUGUUUCAAGAACAAGUUGUUAAAAGUAGUUGCAGAUCUAUCAGUAUAUUUACUAACCUAAGUAGUUGAGAUGUGUUUAAUAAAUCCCUAUUAUUAAGGGAUACUUGGUUAAAUUUUGAAUUGAUGUUACCUUAUGAUUAGGAAGUUAUUUUGUGGCUGCAAAUUUUUGAAGUUUUCUCAUUGGCAAUAAAAUUAUGAGAAAUAGUUUUUUUCAUCUAAAAAAACACUUCUAUUCUCUUCAUUUGGUAUCCGAGCUAGGUUGUAGGGAUCUAAAAACAAGUAUUUUUCAAGGAAGUGAUAAGAGUAUGACAACAUAAGGCAACUUUUUUCAGCCUAAAAUCCCAAAGCUCGAUGGUCAUUAUGAUCACUGGGCGAUGCUCAUGGAAAAUUUUUUGCGGUCCAAAGAAUACUGGAGCUUGGUGGAGCAUGAAAUUACUAAAGCAAGUGAAAAAAGUAUUCUUACUGAAGGAUAAAAGAAGGCCAUUGAAGAUUAAAAACUCAAAGACUUGAAGGUGAAGAACUAUAUUUCUCAAGCAAUUGACAGAUCAAUCUUAGAGACUAUGUUAAACAAAGAUACGUCAAAAAGCAUUUGGGACUCCUUGAAGCAAAAAAUCAAGAGACGGCCAGGGUGAGGUGAGCACAACUGCAGGUGCUCAAGAGAGACUUCGAAACUCUUCAAAUGAAAGAAAGAGAAUCAAUGAAUGAAUACUUUGCUCGAACUUUCACCAUAGCCAAUAAGAUGAGGACUAUGAGAGAUGUCAAUGUCAUUGAGAAGAUCUUGUGAUCUAUGACGAAGAUAUUUAACUAUGUUGUUUAUGCGACUGAGGAGUCAAAUGAUAUUGAUACUCUAACUAUUAAUCAACUGCAAAGUAGUUUGUUGGUGUAUGAACAACACAUGACUAGUCCAGUAACUGAAGAGCAAACCUUAAAGGCCACACAUGAAGGGAAACCAAGAAGAGCAAGAGGGCGAGGUUGUGGAAGUUUUCGUGGUCAAGGAAGAAGCUCAUCAAGUUUUCACGAGUCCAUUGUGGAAUGUUAUCAUUGCCAAUAACUUUGGCAUUAUUAAUAAAAAAAUGUCUAAGUAAACAUAAAAAAGCUAAUUUUGCAGGAAUGGAAGAAGAUAUGCUUUUGAUGGCAUAUAUGGAGAGUGACCAAGCAAAAAGGAAAUAAGUAUGGUUUCUUGAUUUUGGUUGUAGUAAUCAUUUGUGUGGUAAUAAAGAAUUGUUUUCUAAGUUAGAUGAAAAUUUUAGAGAUAGUGUAAUGUUUUAGAAUGAUUCUAGCAUAGAGGUAAAAUGAGAAGGUAAUGUGAGGUUAUAGUCAAAUAAAAUAUCACAGACCAUUACAGGAGUAUUAUAACUGUCUAAGCAUUGGUCAACUAUAAGAAAUGGGACUAGUAGUCUUAUUUCAACAGGGAAGUUACAAGAUUUAUCAUCUGGAGAAAGGUUUAAUUUUGGAAACAACAAUGUCUUCAAAUAGAAAUUUUUUUUUUAUAGCCGGAGUCUCAAUCGAAUCUGUCAUCUUGUUUCUACACCAUCACCAAAGAUCCAGCUUAAUUAUGGCAUUGCAAAUAUGGUCAUCAAAGUUUUAAUGGUUUGAAGACUUUCAAACAAAAUUAUAUGAUCAAUGGACUGCCUCAACUCAAGACUCCCUUCUGUGUUUGCAAAUAAUGUUCAGUGGGAAAACAAAUGAGAGAUUCAUUUCCAAAAAAAAAGCACAUGUAUAGCAACUUAGGUCUUGCAGCUUGUUCAUGUUGACAUAUGCAACAUAAUCACACCCAUUUCGAAUGGAAAAAAAGUACUUAAUCGCUUUUAUUGAUUAUUAUAGUCGUAAAACUCAGGUGUACUUCUUAGAAGAAAAAUCACAAGCUUUUGAUACCUUUAAGAAUUUUAAGAAGCAUGUGGAGAAAGUAUCAAAUUCAUUUAUAAUGUGUUUACGAAUUGAUAGAAGUGGUGAAUUUAUAUCUAAAGAAUUUAUUGCCUUUUGUAAUGAGAAUGACAUUUGUAGACAAUUGACAGCCACGUAUACACCACAACAAAAUAGGGUCGCGGAAAAGAAGAACAAAAUCAUUAUGAAUAUGGUUCAUUGUAUGCUUUAUAAAAAGAAAAUGCCAAGGAAUUUUUGGCCUGAAGUAGUAAAUUGGGCAAUCCAUGUGGUAAAUCGGUUUCCAAGACUUGUAGUGAAAGAUAAGAUUCUAGAAGAAGCAUGGAGCAGGAUAAAGCCAUCAAUUUAAUACUUUAGAGUUUUUGGAUGUGUCUCUCUUUUCCAUAUUUCUGAUAAAAGAAGAACCAAGUUGGAUGAAAAAAGUGUGAGUUGUAUUUUACUUGGAGUAAACGAAGAAUCUAAGGCAUAUAUGCUAUACAAUCCAACUGCUCAGAAAAUUAAUGUGAGAAAAGACCUUUUCGAAGAGGAUAAAAGUUGGAAUUGGGACUCAAAGUAUGAGGAAGUCAUAUCAAUCAAUUUGGAGUGAGAAGAUGAACAAAAUGAAGCUGUCAAUGUAGAGAAAGAUGAAGUGGAGCGACUGAGAGAUUAUUUGAGUGGAGAAGGGCUUUUUGAAGAAAAAGAAGAAGACAUGACUAAUCUAGUUAUGUUUGCAGCCGCCGAUCCCGUAUGUUUUGAAGAAGCUGUGAAGAAUGAAAACUGGAGAAAUGCCAUGGAUUUGGAGAUAAAUCUAUAGAGAAGAAUGAGACUUGGGAGUUGAUAGAUUUACCACAAGGAAGAAAGAAAAUUGGUGUGAAAUGGGUGUACAAAACAAAAUUCAAUGAGAAAGGGGAAGUAGAUAAACAUAAAGCAUGGCUCGUCGCGAAAGGUUAUGCUUAGCAACAUGGAAUUGAUUACAAUGAAGUUUUUGCACCUAUAGCAAAAAUGGAUACUAUCAGGCUCAUUCUAUCACUUGCAUCACAAAUGAGCUAGGUUGUUUAUUAGUUGGAUGUAAAAUCAACCUUUUUACAUAGUGAAUUAAGUGAAGAAGUGUUUGUUGAGCAGCCACAUGGUUAUGAAGUUAAAGGAAAUCAGUAACCAGUGAACAAACUAAAAAAAGGCUCUAUAUACGUUGAAGCAAGCUCCUCGCGUUUGGUGUAGUCACUUAAAAUCAUAUUUUUUGAAAGGCGAUUUUGAAAAGUGUCCUUAAAAGCCUACUUUGUUAAUCAAGAGAAGCACAUGAGGUAAAAUUUUGAUUAUAAGCUUGUAUGUUGAUGAUCUUGUAUAUACUAGAAAUGAUGACUUUAUGUUUGUUGAUUUUAAAAAAUCCAUGAUAUGUGAAUUUAAUAUGACUGACUUAGGGAAAAUGAGGUGCUUUCUUGGAGUUGAAACGAUGCAAAUGACCAAUGGUUUAUUUAUCAGUUAGAAGAAGUAUGUGCUUGAAGUAUUAGAAAGGUUUGAUAUGGACAAGAGUAAUCAUAUUCAUAACCUUUCUAUUCCAGGAGAAAAACUUCAAAAGGAUGUAGGUGUUCUACAAGUAGAUAGUAGGAAGUCUUAUGUAUUUAAUUGCUACAUGGCCAGAUGUUAUGUCCUCUGUUAGUCUUAUUUGCAAAUACAUGGAACAACCUACAAAGAUACAUUUGCAAGCUGCAAAGAAGAUUUUAAUGUACUUAAAGGGGUCAGUUGAUUAUAGAGUGUUUUAUAAUAAUAAUAAAAAGAGAAAAACUGGAAAUUGUUGCAUACAUGGACAGUGACCAUGCAGGAGAUUUGGACGAUCGAAUAUGUGUUUCUCUUUAGUUCCGAUGUUGUAUCUUGGUCAUCUAAGAAGCAACAUGUAGUAUCAUUGUCUACUAGAGAAGUAGAAUUCAUAGUAGCAACUGCAUGUGCCUGUCAAGUGGUUUGGUUGAGAAGGCUUUUAGACAAGCUUAGCUUUAUACAAGGCAGACCUACAAUUGUUUAUUGUGACAACAACUCAACAAUUAAGCUUGCCAAAAAUCCAAUGAUGCAUGGAUGCAGCAAGCACAUUGAUAUGCACUUUCAUUUCCUCUGUGAGCUCGCACAAGAUGGUACAAUACAAUUGGUUCAUUGUAGCACCCAAGUGCAAGUUACAUAUGUGAUGACAAAACCUUUGAAGCUUGGAGCAUUUGUGAAGCUGCGCCAGCUAAUGGGAGUGUGUUCAUUGCUAAAGAGAAAUUGAUUCCUUAAUAAAAAUCAAUUUAAGGGAGGAUGUUAAAAAUAGUUGCAUAUCGAUUAGUAUAUUUACUAAGUUAAGUAGUUGAGAUAUGUUUAAUAAAUCCCUAUUAUUAAGGGAUAAUUGGUUAACUUUUGAAUUGUUGUUACCUUGAUUGGGAAGUUAUUUUGUGGUUGAAGGUUUUUAGAGUUUUUCUAUUUUUUUUUGUAAAAAUUAUAUAUUAGUUGUUUUCUCAUUGGUGAUAAAAGUAUGAGAAAUAGUUGUUUUCAUCUAAAAGAACACUUUUAUUCUCUUCACAAGUUGCCACGACCCUUGGAUCAAUUCGCAUCAUUCCAAGAUCAACUCAAACAUCCCUUAUCUCAAAGUCAAAUCGAAGAGAAGAAAUAAAGAAGAUUUUCUUUGUAUUUAAGAGAUUUCUAGAGUUAGUAACAAUAUGUUCAAACUUAUUAAUAAAAUUUGAAUCCAGAUUUUCAAGUUAACUUUCGACUCAUAAUUUGUGUGUACAAUAAUUUUUCAUGAUUUUUAAAAAUUUUUAAAUAUUUUUUCUUGUUUAUUAUUAAUUAAUAUUUUAAACUUUUCUAUAUAGUUGAAUCAAAGAUGAAAUGGGUUCCACAUUGAUUAAAACCUAAGGCAGUUGCUCGAUAACCAAGAACGAUGCAAUAUUGGAAUCAGUUUAUUACAAUAAAACUUUAGGCUUUGCUUCUGUUUGGUCGGAUGUGAAGGAAAUCGGAAACACAGAAAAAAGAAAGAGUAGAGAAAGAGAAAGAGAUAAAAUAAAAAUUUUCUUGGAUAGGAAAGAUGAAAUAAUUGAAAUAAAAAAUAAAUUUAUUUUCAUUCAUUACUUAAUAGAAUUGAAAAAUGAGAGUAAAAAAAUAAGGCGUAUCUCUUUGUACGAUUAAUAUUUUAACGAUUCAAUUAUUGAAUUUAUCGAAAUAAUUGUACUUAUCAUGCAUGUAAAAUUUUAAAUUAAUUUGAUAUCUCUAUCAUAUCGAUAUAAAAGACCAUAUAUAUGUAUUAAUUUUUAUUAAACUAUUGAAAGUUUUCUUUACAUAAAAUAAAUAGUUUUAAAUUUUUAAUUGGUUGAAUUAUUAAUAUUAAUAAUACAAAGAGAUACAAAAGGGUGUAAAGCCACAUCAGUUGAUAUAAUUGAAUUUCUUCUCAAAAAAAUUAAUUUUUUAAAAAUUAUAUAAUUUUGAAUUAACUUGCAUAUUUCUCUCUCUUACCAAUUUAAAAUUAUUAAUUUUUAUAAAGAUUUUCUUACCAAACAAACUAAAAAUUGAUUUAUUUUUUCACUCAUUUUUUCUAUCUUCGGUCAACCAAGCCUUUGGCUUGAGAUAAUGGUGAAUGAUAGCUAAGGAUUUGUGCUUUAUAUGAUGCUUGGAUUGACUGGAUGAAGUAGAAUCCAAUAUCCCAUUUAUAAAACAGUACACAGUAUAAGAUCUUAAAUAUUCUUUCCCUGAUUGCAUGGAUAAUUCUACAUAGACUAAACAACACCACCUUUAUUUAUUUAUUCAUUUCCUUCAAAGUAGAUUUCAUUGUUAAUGGCAUAUAAUUCAACUCAUAUAAGAUGAGGGUCGGUCUGAUAUUGUCUUCCCAAAGUGUCACAAAUAAACACUUUAUUUGAUUCCAUAUUGCCCUCUUCAUUGUUUCAACCAAGUGAAUACAUAUCUUACUUUAAAUUCUAUUUGUCAAUUUCCUGAAACUUCUAUUUUAUUUCUUUUAAAAAAAAUUUAAUUUAGAUUAAAUUUAGGUUAGAUCUAUGCAUAAUAUCAAUAUCAUAUAUUAUAUUUAAACUCACUAAUAUUUAUCAACCUAAACCUAUUUAGACUCAACCAAUUUUCUUUUUCUUUUUUACUUUUUUUUAAAAUAUAUUUAUGUUAUUUAAAAUUUAGUGAUUAUAUAUCUCAUUCUAUUAUCAUACAUAUUUUCUUUUAUUAAAUUUCUAAACAAAAACAAUUAACAUAGUUUAUAAUUUUACAUUGUAGUUAUAAUAUUUUUAAAUUACCUACGAUAUAAAUGAUAUAAUAUAUAUAUAUAAAUAUAUUGUAAACUUAAAAAUAAGUUAAGACGAAUUAAUUUUGAACUUAGAAAUUUUGAAACUAAUCUACUCUUAUUUAAAAUGGAUCUAAUAUUUUAUUUAAACCCUUUCAAAUUUUGAAUCAACCUUAAUCAAUAACUUACCCUUAAUGACAGUUUGGUUAACUAGAAUUGAAUAGGGCUAUAAUGGAAUAAAUCUGUAAUGAAAUAGAGUUGUAAUUAGUAGUUCAAUUGUUUAGUUGAAGAGAUUGGAAUAAAAGUGUAAUAGUAUUUGUCGAAACCAUUUUUUUGAAAACGGAAAAUCGACUUUUGAAAACGAAAAGUUGGGAGUCGCACCAAUCUUUUUUAAUUGAGUGUGAUUGGAUCACCUCAAAACACGGUCGUUUUUAAUAAAUAAAAAAAUUUUCAAAACGACAAUUUUGGUCUGCGAAAAUAGAAAAUCGUUCGGGAGUCAGUUACGUACGAGGAAGGAUUAGCACCCUCGACACGCCCAAAAUUGGUACUUGAUUGAUUAUUUAGUGUCUUAAUGUCAAAAAUUAAAGAUUUGGACAGAGUUCAAAACGUGAUCCUCCUUUUAUUGGCUUUUAAGACAUUUAGGUAAGUCAAAUGUGUAUUAAAGACCAUCUCACCUCAAGGUAAAACAUUACAUCCAGUACGUUAGGACGCAACAUUUUUGACCCUCAAUUGUGCGCUUGCCUUUAAAAGGUACGUUUUAGCCUUAAGAGGAUAUUCGAAUAUUCAAAAUAAACAAAGAAAGCAGAGCCCAGUACGUUAGGGCACGAUUCUUCGAAUUCUUUAAAUACCGAACAUUGUCUUUAUUUUGAAAUCUUUUGAGAGUGCACUAGGAAGAGGUUAUUCGAAUAUUCAAGACCAACAAAGAAAGCGAAACCCAGUACGUUAGGGCACAAUCCUUUGAGUUCCAUAAAUACCGAAAAUUGCCAUUAUUUUAAAAUUGAUUGAAAAUAAAUCAUUGAAUGAACGGAUUUGGGUAAUUUAAAAGUUUAAGAAACAUGAUAGUAUGCAACAUAAAAAAUAACAAUAUAAUAAUAGACUUGAUAGUGCAUGUAUUAACACCUAAAACAUAAUAACCGUAAGGAGAAUUAAUAAUAAUAAUCAAGACCAUAGUAAAAAAAGAUAACAUAAUAAACAUAGCAAUAAUGAUAUUAAUGAUAUAAAAAUACAUAAUGGGAAUAAAAAUAACGUGUUAAUGAUGAUAUUAAACACAAUGAUAAAAGUAAAAUUAAAAAACCAUACUAAAUUAAGACAAAUAACAAUAAUAAUAUAGUAAAAAAAAAUGGUAAAAAUAACGGUGGUAAUUUUUAACAAAUAAUAGAAAUAAUAUUAUAACAUGAUAAGACUAUUAAUAAUUACACUUAAAGGGAGAACGAAUAUAUAUAUAUAUAAUAGUAUAAGUAAUAAUAAGAAAAAAGUAAUAGUAAACAGUAGGAAUAAUAAAAAAAGGUAUAACGAACUAUAUUUAAAAUAGUUAACUUUUAAUAAAAUAUAUAAAAAGAUUAAUAAUAAUAAUAUAAUGAUUUAAAAUAAAUAGUAAAAAAAAUAGUAAAACAAACGUAAUGUAAUAAAAAUAAUAACUAGUGGUAUAAUAAAAAUAGUAUAACAGAUAAUAGGAUAAAAAGGGAAAAAAAUAAUACUACAAUUAAUAGUAGAAUAUAAUAAAAUAGUAAUAAUAAAAUAAAAACUAAAAUAAUUAAUUUUAUGAUAGAAGUGGCUAAAAUAAUAGAAAUAGGGCGUAAUUGAAAAUAAAACGGGAUUUUUGGGGCCAAAACAAGAGAAGUGGGGAAUCAAACGCAGAAUUUACCCAUGAGGGCAAAAAAGUCAUGGGUCAACCCACCUUAAACGGUUCCGUUCCCAUGGGAUCAAAUAUCCCAAAACCUUAUUAUUUUGUUUGUGGCUCAUUUGAGCCAAAAUCAUAGGGAGAAAAGAGGGGUUUUCCCCUUUUCCCUCCGCAAGGGCAUAGAUCGCCCAUCGUCGCGGCUCCACCUUCCCCAAAUGCACACCGCGGUGGCCGACGAGCCAGGUAAGGCCCUCUUACAAUCCUUUUUUAUUGUUAUUUUUAAAAACUUUGUUUUACUAUAAGAAAAAAAGAGAAAAAAAAGAAGCAAAUUCGUAACAAGGGGUUGAGGAUUAAAACUCGAAAAAGAAUAAAAAAUCAUAAUCACCUUUGUUUCUAUUGGGUCGUACUAAAAUAUUAGUCAAAAAAUCUGCUAUAUCUCUCCGUAAUUUCUCUUUAUUUCCAAAAAAAAUCCCCCAAUUACAGUGUUUUCAAUGGCUUUUUAUAGCCUAGAAAUAAAAUGAAAAUCUUCUACUGUUGUUUGCCUUUGCAGAUAUCUCGGAGGCGUGGGAGCGUGGCAUGGAGUAGCGCACGAUUCGGAAGCUUGGCGCGCAUCGUACGCUGCUUGGACUCGAAGCUUGCGGCGCCGAUUUCCUUCUGCUGCUGGGGUUUUAGGUUGGCUUUAUGUUUUGUGUAUUGGGUUGAGAGAUGUGGGAUAGGUUUUGGGUAAUCUGUUGGGCUUUAGGUCUGUUUUGUAUUGGGUUUUAAUAGGUGUUUUUAUAUUUGGGUUUAGUUUUUUAUAUUUAAUUUUGUAUAUGUGUGGGCCUGGGCAUAAAUUGGGCUCAACAGUAUUUUUUAUUUAGUUAAAUGGAAUAGAUGUCAUAAUAACAUAAAAAAAGAAAACUAAAAUGAGUAUAGUACCCUUAGCAAAAAAAUUUUUAGAUAAAUGAUUAUUUUU